UAGUUUAGAAUUACACAGUAAAUAAAUGAGUUCAUCCUAACAUGCUGCUUUCCCAGCAUAACAACUGUCAACUGGCUUAUCCUUCGAUCUACCUUCAACUUUAUGUCAUCUUUAUUAGGUCACUGUAUCAAAGUGUAUGAUUGCCCUUGGCUUCAUGGUUCUUGUGCGGGAUGGGUUGCACAUGGAGGUAAGUACACAUGGCAUUUCUUCCCAGAAUCUUGCAACAAACCUUGGGAGUCAUAGUCCUUUGCUGCCAAAUUCAUGUAUAAAUGCAAUACAAGAAACAAAGAUGAUAAGAUAAUGUUUCUGGUUUACUUUUUAGCUUUAUUUCUUUAGAACGACAGAUUACUAGACUUUACAUGUAUAUAGGCAGCAGUAGCAAAAUAAAGAAGAAAAAAAAACUCAUUAUAUGCUUUUACAAGAGAAGAAAGUGAGACUAAAGGUGGGAGAGUGAGCAUGUCAAGUCAUUAUUUCAUUUGGUACAUCUGAUCAAAGGUGAGUCUCCACCCAAAAAUAUGCAUUCAAGUGGUGAAAUUUUGUGCAGUGAGCUUGGUGUGGUGGCCAGGAGGUUGUGGACGCUCUUGAUUGAUUUUGUGAAGUCUUAUUUAGACUCGUUUCGACUUUAAAGCUGCACACCAUACGUUUAAGGUACUCGACUCUGACCCCUGUACGUAGCAAUAUUGGAUUAUUUGAGGAGUUGAAAUAAAUCGAAGUUACUUGGUGCAUCAGCUAGAGCUUUAAAUUGUCCUUUUUCAACAAUAAAACCAUUGUCAUCAAAAUAAGGGGCAUGAAGGAAAGUGAUGUCUGGCAAUAGAAAGGGCAGUGGGGUUUCAAAACAGUUGAGAAAAUGAAGUGUGACAUACACAAAAUGGGGUAUGUAGCUUAGGAAUCUAGAAGACGAAGAUAUUGGACACAGAGAGUAAAACAAACCGAUAAUUAUUUACCAACCAAACAUAGAUUACAGAAGAUUACAUCCAGCAUAUAUAAUUAAUCCAAAUAUAGAAAGAAUAUUACAGAACACACAAUCAAAAAUACUUUCCUCUUGCAAUCGACUUCCUGGCUGUAAAGCUACUGAUCCUCAGCCGAACUAGGAGCUAACCAGAGCCUCUGAUGGUGAUUCCUUGACAAUAUGAACUUCAUGGUAGCAGAAAAAUUUGUUGUUCAUAAUGCGUUUUGAGAAUGAAGGAUCAUAGAAUGCAAACCUCUCAGAAAACAUUUUUCUGUAAAUCUUGUAGUUCAGGGUCCACUACUUUGUCUUCCUCCCCAGCUUCAGUUGCAAAGAGAGGGGCUUCAAGCUCAGGUGCAUUCUGGGCAUGGGCAUUAAAGAAAUGUCAAGAAAGUAAACUCUAAUAACAAAACGGACAAAGGGAAAUGGGGAAUUAGUGUGAAAAACGACACAACUACUUUUAUCAGUUUACAAUAUGCAGCUUUGUUUAUUCAUUCAGAAAAACAACAGCAGCUUUGCUUUACUGUAACAAUGGUAACUGGGGAGGUCGGCCAUGUACGUCAUGUUUGGUAGGAGGGGGCUGCCAAACCAAACAUCCAUGAAUAUAACCCUCUAUCAAGGCUGUACUGUUCUAUAAUUUCCAUCCUCGGAUACCUCACCGACUUAAUGAAUCAAAUGUACCAUAUGGUAAUGCUACAAAUGCACUUCUAAAUAAUGGGGGUUCAAGGAUUUGGAAAUUUACCAUGCAGCGGACAAGAGCCCAAUUUACACCUUUGAAGAAUGGAUGUCCCUUAAUUUCACUGGCUCCUUCACGAGAACCUAAUCUGUUUUUGGGAUCUUUAUGUAAUAACCUGUACAUCAACUGCUUUCCAUGGAGACUUACCUGCAUUCAUUCAUGCAUUAUGUGUUAAAUCUGUGAUAUGUAUAAAAAUUAAUCUCAAAUCCAACGGUUCUGGAAUGAGCCGCAACAUCACACGCUCAAGUGAAAAGAACCGCUUCAGGACAAGACCAUAUUGGAUUGCACUGUAGUUAUCACCCAUUCUUAAGUCUUAAGGUAAUAAGAUUCAGAAGAGAAGAUUUUGAAGACAGAAGAAAAGUUACUUGUAUACUUCUUGGGAAUUUAAGAUCUUUCUGAAGAACAUUGGCAAAUGUCUUCUGUCUUGUCUUUCCCCUGAAUGGUGUAUACCCAUAAAGCAUUUCAUAGAGAAGAAUGCCUGGAACAGAAAAACAAAAGCAAACAAAAAAAUAUCUUCUGCAUUAGAUUGAAAGCUAGAAUCCCAUUGAUCAAUCAGCACAGAAAGGUAUGAUUUCUCAUUUUCCCAUUUGUUCUUAUUCAGUCACUUCGUCUGACAGGUAAGGAAAUUAUAACAAUGAUCUUAGUAGGAAGCUUCGUUAUGAAAACAUGCACUUUCCCCAAUUUUUUAUGUUGCUUUAGAAGGAAAAAUACAAAAUUACCUAAAGCCCACCAGUCCACUGCACUGGUAUGGCCUGCCCCAGAGAUAAUUUCCUGCAAAGAACAGAAAGAGAAUGAGCAUUCAAUAGAAAAAAAGUAGAAAUGGCUGAUGUGAAGAAUGCAUUUCUACAGUUGCAACCAUUUCUUUAGCAGAAAACAGACAAAUAUAUUUAUGUAUAGACAUUUAAGAAAAUAAACUAACAGGGGCAAUGUACUCUUCAGUUCCCACAAAAGAAUUUGAUGCACGCAUAGGUUCUGCCAUGAAGAUUGGAUUCUGCUGACUUUUAUGGCGUUUUUUCUUUUCAUCUGUCGUUGGAAUCAGCAGCUAUAAACACCGGUAAAAUUUAUCAGAUUUCUUGAUGUAGAGAAAAAAAUGGGGGAUAAAGAAAAAACCCCAGAGCUAAACAGGGGCCAGAAGAUAAAGAUAGCUUUAGAUACCUGUGGUUUGCAAGAUGUCAAGCAAGAUAAAUCAAAAUCGGUCAGGGUCACAUGUCCAUUGCUCUGGAGGAGAACAUUUUCAGGCUUUAAAUCUCUGUAUAUAAUUCCUGUCGGAAGGGCAACAGAAUGACUCAAUAACUGAUUUAUUGACAUGGAAGCAUGUUCAUAAUUGACUUCAACCAACCUUGACAGUGAAGGUACUCCAAUGCAACAACAACCUCCGCAGCAUAAAAUCUACAUUCAUAGAAACUUAGAAGUUUAGUUCCAAAUCAGACUUGGUAACAAACUGGAAAUUGCUGAAGUGGGUUUGAAAGGUUAAAACAAAUCCAUCAUUGAGUAUAGGCAAAUUGUCAGAUGAUAUUCCUAGAUCCUAGUAUCCAGUACAAGUAUCAAACACCAGAAAGUUUAAAAGACAAAAUAAGUUUACAUGACUCUAUUGGUGAAUCAGAGAAUUUCUAGACAAGGUUAAGGUAGUGUUAAUUGUGGUAAAAAGAUAAUUACCUGACUGCAUCUUCCUUCAUGACCUUCAUUGGUUGUCUGUCUAAAAGCACGAAGAGUUCUCCACCAGGACAGUAAUCCGUAAUCAGACAAAUAUGUGUUUUAGUCUGCAAAGUAUCUGAAAGUUAGAAUUUUCAUGUCUCCCAUCUACAGUAAGCAAGUAAAAAAAAUGAGGAUCUAAUCUCCAAUGAUCUUCAAUUUAGUUGAAUUGGGACCAGAUUUAACAGCAAACAGAUCAAGAAAUAGAUAUAUUGAAUUUACAAAAAUAAGGCAGGCAAGUUUCGUCUGAUUGAAUAUUGAAGCAUCAAAGCUUUAUGUUCAUGCGUACAAAGAAAUUGAAAAGAUCCAAGUCUUAUAUUCAGACACAAAAUGAAAAUCAUAUUUCAGACAAUUAUCUAGCUAAUCUUGUUAAAACAAGCCUGCGGUUAAUAUCAGUUUUCUAACCUGAAAUGAUGCAUACAAUGCUGGAAGAAAAGGGUGAUCCAACAUGUCAAGAAUUUCUCUUUCUGCACAAGCUCUAUGCACCUACAGAAAAGGAAGGCAUCAUGUAAACAAAAACGAAGAAGAAUGCCCUUCAUACAUGGAUAUCAAGAGAAAGUGAAACUAUGGGAAAUAAAGAGGAUAAUGACAAGCUAAAAUAAAAACUAAAGGAAAACUCCUCUCCUGGUCCUUGUUCAAUAGUUAUAUGCACUUCCAGGCUUAUCAUUAGAUAGCAUACAAAUGACUAUAUAGGUAUUUUUUGGUUUGAAGAUUAAUACUCAAAAUCAAUGCAAUGAUACCUUGUUCCGGUUGAGCAUAACACCUUUAUCCAUAGCUUUCAUGGCAAAGUACAGGCCAGUUCCAUAUAGUUCCACCAAAUGCACACUGCCAAAAAAAGAAAUAGCUGAUAUAAAAGUUUCUGUGAAAGAAUAAGUACAUGCAUUAUACAGCAAAAUUGAGUGUAAAACAGGAGAAGAGGAAUUAGACAAACCUGCCAGUGUCGCCUGAUCCCAAUGGUUUUACAGGCCUAAAAUGUUUUAGACCUAUCCUUUCUCCACUGUCAUGAAUCUACAAAUACAAGAGCAAUGAGACAUAAAAAUCACAUAUAUACUCAACGUGGAAGGGUUAUCAGAAUGGAAGAAUCUGGUGUAAAAUGACAGAUAUAAGUUGAAGAACAAAUGCAGAAUGACAAUGGAAAUAUAGGUUCUUUCUUGUUCUUAAAAUUUUUUUCAGCACCAUGCUUCUUCAUCAUUAAGCCCAGAAUCCAAAACCAUUUUAAAUGAUAUGUUGGUCCCCUAUAAAUUAUGACUCAGGCACAUAAAUAUGAAAGAAUAAUACCUUUUGAAUAGCUUUCCAAAAGGGACUAUCCUUCCUGUGAGGUUUUGGGUGAACCACCUUGGAAUGAUUCAUCCAUAGAUCUUCUGGAUUCUGCAGGUAGUGAAAUUUGUUGUAAAGAUUUUUGUAAGAAAAAGAGUUUUUCUGGAAAAGUGGAUUAGGAUUCAAACAUUACCAUAUUGGCGUCUGGAAGUUCCCUCACUGCUUCAUCAACAUUUUCUGCAGUUUUUUUCACCUGCAAGCAGGGAUUGUUUUAAGCCUCCAAAUGUUAAGGUAAUAAAGGAACUUAUUUAAGAACUUAAGGAUUUAAGAAAGCAGGAAAAGAAAAAACAAAUGGGAAGACAGAGAAAAGAGUUGAGACCAGUUGUUCACUCUGUUGUGCAGCACUAUCUGGAAGCCUGUUAUGAAGUGGAUCAACUUUUGCACUGCCAUCUAGCUGCACUCCGAUAAAAUACUGAACUUCUCCCUGUUCAAAAUAAAUCAGAGGUAGUUUUGUUCAUCAGUCCAGAAAGUCAUAUGAAUUCGAAUUUGAUGAUCUGCUUAACAAAGGAGUUACAUAGCAAAAUACAGCAUUUACUUUCCAGUCUGAAUAUUUGAGGAUUUUACCUUCUGGUCACGCAUAGGCUGCAGAUGGAACAGGUUCCAGAACUUCUUGCCUGAAAUGUGUACAAAUAGCUUUGAAUCAUUAUAGGAAGAGAUAAUCCAGAACAUCAAAAAUAUUAGUAACAGGACUAGAAGGAUAAAGACUUUCAUAGUUACACUAUAAAUAACAAUGUAUAGACUUAUCCUUGGACCACUGAAAGGCAAGAACAUUACAUGCAUGACAUGAAUCAGUAAACUGAAUAUUAGGCAUCUUCUGGAAACAUUUUCCGGGUGUCAUAUGAAAUCUAGAAGUUGGAAAUUUUAAGCAUACCACUCUUUGUGUAGUUGAUGAGCUGUACAGUUACUUCUGUUUGGUUAUCUAUUGCCUCUCGGAUCUUCCUCACAGUAGCUGGAUCAGUUUCAGGCCCUUGGAGAAACCUGAAAGGAUUUCACAGAUUAAAUGAAGUGAAUUCCAUUUUUUUAUAAAACUCAUUAUAUUGUUUACCUUGAUUUUGUCUUAAAAGGCUAAGGUAUAAAUUCAUUCUUUAUCUGCCUUUCACACUAUUUAAGCUAUCUUCUUGCAUACAGUUCAAAUUGAAGAAAGGAAUGGUAUUGCUUGUUACAUAAAAAGAAAGAAACACAGAAUUAAAUAAGCAAGCUUAAGAUUCAAGAACCAGCUGCUUAUGCCUAGCUAGAACUAACAUGAAGCCACUCAAUCAAAGAUAAUAACUUUGCUAGAUAACUUCUUAAUUUGGAGAGAACUUCCUGAUCACACUAAUUUUCCACCAACAAUCCUACUGAAUAAAACAUCAUGUAACACCAUGUCAAAAAUUCCUUCAGAUGUUUAAGAGCAUCAUUGCAAAUUCAAUUUUCAACUUCAGACUGAUGUUUUAAGCCUUGCAGGGUGGAAUGAGAGGUCAAAAUACUUAAAAUUUUGAUGUUAUGAUUUGCAAGUAUAGGGAAUUUGAGGCACACCUGCAAUUUCUGCCCAAGAUUUCUUCGCGGCUGUACUCUGUCAGCUCCAAGAAGCUAUCAGAUGCAAAGAUCUGAUCAUUAAGACAAGUGGAAACAUUAGUUUCUUAAAAAUUGACCUCUACUUGCAUGACCUGAUAUUAAAUAUAUAUUAGAAACUAUAUAUUUAGCUGGAAUUCGAAGUCUUACAAUGGGAUUAUCAGGCAGCCUUGGAUCAGUAAUGACAAAGUUUUUCUCUAUACGUUCAAGUGUGGUGGCAAGAUCAAUACCCUUUCUCAUUUCCUUUUGUCUAACUUUGUCAUCAACACUGUCUGGCCUCUCAUCAUCAUCACUCUCAUCCUCAUCAGCAUCCAACAGGAGACUAUUGUCAAAGCUUUCAGUAGUAGACUGACUUUUCCUCAUAAGCCUGAAGCAUGGAAAGAGAACCUAUGUAAAAUGGCUGCUUUCAUACUAUACCAAGUGAUCAAUCAGAAAGUUCUUGAUCAUACCCCAUGAAAGAGAGACGACUAGAUCUUCUCUGUUUCUUUUCUGGCACCUCACUGAUACGCUCCAUUGAGAUUCUAGGACCCCCACUAGAUCUUCUUUGUGGAGGAACAUUUUCCGAGUUUCGCCAUGCCAAACCUCCCGAUCCUUCUCGCUCUCCGCCACCACCUGAUAUUCUAAUGAAAGGGUGGUUUGUUGAUUCACUCAGUGAACGAGGUUUCCUAACUGCUUCCACAAGUUCCGUUACUGAACCGGCAGCCAUGUCCUUUUGGCGGGCUGCAACAACAGGUAUUCUUAGAGGCCAAAUGAUUGCUCAAACCAAGCGUUUGAGUAGCACCAAAAGCCAUUACAUUAACAAGAAUGAGGUACUCCAUGACAUUCAUGCUAGAAUUUAACCCACGUUAGAACUCUCAAAGGGUCACAUCGCAUUGAAAAUUGAAUGCAACGAUUACAUGUUCUGGCAAAUUUCUGUUGCUUAUGGAUCAAAUGAGUGCAAGAAAAUGAUACCAACUCAAAACUUUCAACUCUUUUCUACUCAUUUAUAGAGAGCUCAGACCUAUUGCAUGCAAUUUGCAAAAAUUCAGAUCAAUCUUGCAUAAAGAAUAGUACUUGAAAUCUCGAGAGUAUUUAACAAAAAAUAAAUGAAUACGUACAUCGCCUCCCCAUGCAUGUAUCACUUUACUUUUUGGGGUGGAACCAUGCACGUAUAAUUAAUUAAACAAUUCUUUUUGAUAAUAAAUAUAGGAAGAAAAAUUCCCUACUCUCAUUUAGUGUCAUUUUCAUAAUUUUUCAUUAAAUAUUCAACAAACUUCUCAUAUUAUGAUUUAUAAUUUAAGAUUUAUGGAUUAGAGAUAAGGAUUUUUAAUUGAUAAUAUAAAACUACAUACAUGACGUAAAAUUAUGAAAAGAGACAUCAAAUGAAGACAAAAAAAUUUUAUUUUAUAUAUAUAUAUAUAUAUUUGAAGUUAGAUUUUCCUUUUUCAAAUAAAAAAUAAUGCAAGUACUAUAUAUAUAUAAUUAAAUAAUUCUUUUCGAUAAUAAAUAUAUGAACAAAAAUUCCCCACUCUCGUUAAGUGUCUUCUUCAUAAUUUUUCAUUGAAUAUUCAACAACCUUCUCACAUUUAUAAUUUAAGAUUUAAAAAUUAGAGAUAAGGGUUUUUUAUUGAUAAUAUAAAAUUACAUAUAUGAGGUAAAAUUAUAAAAGAGAUAUCAAAUGAAGAUAAAAGAUUUUUAUUAUAUAUAUAUUUAAAGUUAGAUUUUCUUUUUUCAAAUAAAAAAUAAUGCAAGUACUAUAAUAUAUAUAUAUAUAGAUCUUCAUUGUUACUGUUAUCCAUAAUAAUUCAUGUAAGAGGAGUAGGGGGUACAUGGUAGCAGAGACAAGAGAAAAAGGAUAAUGUUAGAAUAUAUACCAUCGUAUCGAAUCAAAGACUCUGGCAAUCCAUUGGGCCGCAACGCCUUUUCCUUGGCCCCUUCUGUAUGCUUGCUCACCUCCACUUGCAUUCUGCCAAAUCAUUCAAACACAAAUACAAAUAGAAAUGAUGAGGAUACAAAUCCCACCGUGGCAGAUUGUCGUCUUCCUAAUCAUCCUACAUACAUUCCCUCUAUUCAGUUCUGUCACCGUCCAUCACCCAAUCAGACGGUUGGAAACAGCAGUCCCCCACAGUCCAUCACCAUCAAGAAUUGAAUCUUGUGGGUGACCACAAACGAGCCAGCCAGCCAGCCAGCCCCUCCCAGUUGCCAACUCAGUAAAAGCUUUCUGCAAUUAUCCGAUGUGACAUAAGGGGACAAGGAAAAUGGGCAUUUUCUUCUCUUGCUCAUCACUUUGCCUCUUGUGCAGCAAUCAUGUGACAUGUUUUAGGACAUAUGCCCUUGCACCUACACUCUAGCUAGGUUUGAGGGUUUCUGUCCUUGAUAAGCAGAUCCCAUAUAUCAAAUGUUUUAAGAUCUUUUAUCAGUAAAUUAACUAAACCUUCUUAGUCCCUGGCUAUCACAUGUAUCGAUGGGCCUGCUGGGGUCUGCUUGUAUUCAUUUCAUGAAUUGUGUAUACAGCUUUACGAUGGCGAACCACAUAAGGUCAAAAACUCAAAAAUACAGGGAACCCAUUCUAUAAGCUUAAAAAAAUGGUAAAUUUUCCCCACAUUUUCUGUGAAUUCAAAUUUUCUCACGUCAUAUUUUAUAAUUUUUUUUCACAAUUAGCAUUCUGUGAGUGUUUUUCUUUUCAAUUAGCACGCUUUGAACAAUUUUGUCCCCAUGAAAGAUUAUAUUGUUAAUUUUACAUAGUAAAAUUAUAAAAACACUCUUAAAUGUGAACAAAUUAGCUAAUUUUGAAUUGAAACUAUUUUGAUAAUUUUAUUAGAAAAUAUUAACAAUCUAAUCCUCAUAAGAACACAAGUUGUCCACAAUGUUAAAAUUGGAAAAAAAAAUUCACAUGGUGUUAAUUGAAAAGAAAGAUAUUCAAAGAGUACUAAUUGUGAAAAAAAAUUAUAAUAUAUAUUAUAUGAAAAAAGUUAAAAUCACAAAAACUGUAAAUGGAGUUUUUUUUCAAAAAAAAAUGUUAUGUGGUAAAAACAAAUGUCUAAAGGAUAAAAGGAAAAAAGUGAAACUAACCCAAUAAACUUCAAGACUUUUCCAUUUUCGUCCUUGAUAGGUGAAAUAGUAAGAAGAUUCCAAAAAGGAGCUCCAUCUUUCUUAUAAUUCAACAAUCUCCCGCAAUAAUUUGUCCCUGCCUGCAAUGCCUCCCUAAUCUUGGCCACAUCUUCCGGGUUUGUACCCGCACCCUGUAAAAACCGACUGGAUCCCACCCACCCACCCACCCACCCAACAUUUAUUAAAAUGUCAAUAUUACCCUUCCUUGACAGUUAUUACAGUUAAUAAAGUCAUAGUAUUAAACAAAUUAAUGACACAAAUAUAAAGAAAGAAUUGAUCUUUACCAGUUCCUGCCUAUGACCUCCUUCGAAGUGUAUCCAGUCAUCUUAAAGAACCCGGCACUUGCAUAGAGAAUCGGGCAAUCGGGUUUGGUAGCAUCCGCAACUACGAAUGUUUGUUGAAAUGUUGACAAUGCAUCCUUCAAGUCCUCGGAUACUCUAGGGAAACCUCUCUCCUUACUGAAUUCGUUGUCUGAUUCUUCGGAGCUCCGAACCGAAUUAUUCGAGUUCCUACGAGAAGUACCAGGUUUGAUAUUCGGGUCAUCUCCACCCGAAUUCCUGACAACAACUCCUUGUGGUUUACCAGUUUCAUUGUCGGUUUUUAGUACCAGCCCCCAUUCCGCAGCUCUCUUCGCAGCCACUCCGGCUUCAUCCGAAGGAUUGGGACUCGCGGUUCCGCCAUUAUCACUGGUGAUCGUAUGAACAAGAGGUGAUUGUGAUAGUGAAGAUGAUGGUGGUGGUGGAGAUGGAGCUGAUGAUUUUUCCGUGAGUGCCAUCCAUGAUGUUAUUUCUUCAACCCGACCCGACUUGGAGGCUAGCUUGGAAGGGUCAGCUUCUGGGCUCCCACGUGGUUCUAUCAAGCUUUGCCACGUGGGUUGCGACCGAAAUGCCGGGUUGAUGGGUCGGGUUGAGAAAGUGGAAGGGUUGAACACUUCAAGCGAGCCCCGAGGGUCCCUUGGCAAUGGUGGGAACAAGGAUGAUUGCUUGGAUGAUUUUUCUGUUGGGUCCAUAUCUGCAUAAGACCAAAACUAAUGCAAAUAAUAGUGAAAAAAAAAUCUAUGUCUAGAUAGUUUACAUUGUCUAGUCAUGCAUCACAAGGCAGAGGGAAAGAAAACACAUCAUAAUUCAAAUCCAUGCAAAAAUUUUCCAGUGGGGACGAGGGAAAAAAAAAGAAGACAAAACAGAAAGAAUCCAAUACUUCUAACAUGGUUGAAAUUUAUGGCUUCAUCUAAAUCUCAUAUGCCAAUGUUUCAUCGACAACAUCAGUGGUGGGACAUGAAAAUGAACUGGGCUAGGAGCUUGGCGACAGAAGUUUUGGAACUGGAUUAUGAGGUGAUAAAAGAAGCACAAAAAGUCAGUUUGCAAAGUUACCCAGGGCUUCCAGGUCAUUUCAGGUUACUUUCUCCAUCUAACUUGUGUCUAAACUUCUAGUUUGGUGACCGCAAAGUUGUCUGCGAACCUCAUGUUUUUUGGGGUAGUUUAGUCAUGGGGAGUAGGUUAGGUGGAGAUGUGGUGGGGGAAAAUCAGGCCGGGCCAAGCCACUGAAAAACAGCCUAUUCACUUACCAGAGCUCUAGGCCAUUAUCUAGAUGUUUCCCUGAUUAAAGCUGUCACAGAAAAAAGAGCUCUUUGCGGCCCAUGAGAGUGAAAGAAACCUAACAAAGUUAUGUUACGGAAAACAAGAAUACUUUCAGUACAGAUUUUUUAGCAGAGAAAUUUCUGUCAUCAAUCUGUUUUAAGAUCAUGCAUUCUAGAGCUGGAGACCCAGAAGCAGAUUUCUUUUAAGUUCAGAGAAAGUAAACAUGGAAUUGAAGAGUACUCCAAGACACAACCCCAAGAAAAAAUGAUGACCAAAAAAUCCUGUUUUCUGGAUGAUCUUUUUCUAGCUGGAACUGCUGACUGCUGUGUACUUCUUGAGAGAAAUGGAAAAUCUUUGGAAGUAAAGAAGAAGCAAAGAACUUCGAAUGUGUAAAUCAGCAAACAAAUUACAAAGAGGCUACCUCAAGUGAAUCAAGCUGAGUCUUCAGAAUCAGAUCCUGGUUUGUUUUGCUUGCUAAAAGAAACUCUGCAAAGAUAUAACAGCUGACGGUUCUCAAGUUGAGCAAACAACCAAAACCUGGUGGAGUAAUAGUUCCAGGUAAAAGAACCACAGAAAGAAAAAGAGGCUUAAAGAUAACAGAGGGACAGAGAGAAGGAAGACGAGAAGAUAAUCGAAGUGAAACUACUUCUUAAUGGCAAUCAAAAAGGCCACGAAAAGGAAGGCAGGAAGGAAAACAGAACAGAAUGAUUGUCGUAAAGGUUUGGCUUCCCAUCCCUCUGGACCUGAAUUUCACAUGGCUCUUGCUUUUCAGCUCGGAUCCCUAUAACUCAAUCAUGGAAACAUCUAUAUAUAUAUUUUCCUUAAAAAGAAAGCUCCGAAGAAACAUAAGAUAAUUGUUUUCUUUCUAUCAAAAUAUAUAUAUACAUUUCCCUACAAAACCACUCACCUUAUACUGAUUUCUCGAUCCCUUUGGGUUUGGUAUAUACAGUCUGGAAAUGGGUUGGCAACAAAAAAGAAGAAACAAUAACAACAAAAGCAGAAUCAGUAGAAACGGAAGCAAAUUUCUGAAGCACGUUGAAACUUGCAGGACUAUCCCCGACCGUGGUGGUGGUCUCUUCAAGCAAUGCUUCCUUGGUGUCUUGGUUGGCUCCACUCAUACAAAUAAGCAGCCAAAAACUUCUUCCUUUCUUUUACUUUAAGGAUAAUUCAUUACUCUAAGACUUAUCAUCAUGAAAACAAAGUAGAAAAAGGAAAGGAAAUAUCUUUUCGAACUUAACUGCAAAUUGUUGAGGAUGACAAGGAAAUAGCAAUAUGAGAAGGGAAAAAAGCAAGAACGGCCGGUUUCUACCAUUUUAGAGGUAUCAUGAUGGACACGUGGCAAAUUGGCUGAUGUGGGGAAAUUGAGUGGUCGGAUGGUGGAAAACUUUUGUCAUCAUUUGAUUUGAUGGAAACUGCUCAACAUGAGAGUUAAAAAGGAUAGGACUAAAUAUAAAGGACCAUCUCUUUACAUUUUUCCUUGCUUUGCUUAUCCAUUUUACUUUUUGUUUGCAACCAUAAUCAUAAAAGUACGAUUAGAAUCCCAUUGCUUGCAUGCAAGACUUUUGAUUAAAGGGAAUGAUUUAAUUGUGUGGUUGGAGGAUAACGUUUUCAAGGCCUGCAUGAACUCUUCUGUAAAAGAGAACAAAUUGCAAUUUAUUCAAUUAGCAUUAACAUGUCUAUUAUUGUGGCUUGGCACAUUACAUGUUACCAUCUAAUAAAACAUUAUUGUUCAAGUUAAAACAUGCUUAGAUUCUUUUUUUUUUUUUUGGCUUAUAUAUCAUGUAUCAUUAGAAACAGAAUUAAAUCUAAUUUUUCAACUAAAAACUUGUUUGAACAUAAAUCCGAUGUCAUUUAAAGGGCGCAUUAUUAUGGUGGAUGGAGACUUCCAUCUCACUGCAUCGUCAAAUGGGCCAGUUAAAGGCGCAUUAUGGCGGUCGAUGGAGACUCUCAUUGCACUGCACCGCCAUUGGACGAGCCAGUUUAGAGUACAUUGUGGUGGAUGGGAGAUUGAUCUCACCGCAUUGCACCACCACUGGGCAGGCCGAUCAAGGGUGCAUUGCAGUGGACUGAAACUCUCACCGCACUGCAUUCCCUUUGGACCGAUCAAUUAAGGGUGCACUGCGGUAGAUGGAGAUUCUCACUGCACUACAUUGCACGUUGGAUCGACCCUACAGAAAUGUACAAUAUUAAAGAUAUAAUAGGUGGAAAACGAACUUAGCAUUGAGACUAUGAAAACAGAAUCAAGACCCAUGGGUAUCUAUUGUGUAGGUCCAUUUGAUUUAUAAUCAAUUUGGAAACCAGACAUAACAUUUUCAAUUUCUUCUUUGUCCAAGGCAAAUAGACUAGAACAAAAUAUAUUAAGUGCGAAACAAGCUUGACAUUGAUUUCAUGCCUUUGCAUAUAGGAUGUAUCCUAUUCAUUUUGAAAACACAAUCAAGAGUAUCUUUAAUGUAGGUCCAUUUGAUUUAAAAGAAACUUGGAGACCAAACAUAAUAUUUUUUUUGUUCUUUGCCAAUGACAUAUUGUACGGAAAAAUCGAAUGAAAUAGAUAAGUUUAACCGUAUAAAAUAAAAAUAUUUCUUUAUAUAUUUGAUUUAUCCCUUGAUGUAUCCAAAUUUCUUUGUUCAAAAAGUCGAAUUCAAUUUUUUCCUCGAUCAAUUAAAAAAAAUCAAAUAAGAAUAACGAUUUUCACUCAUUAUUUUAAUUUCUUCAACAAAUCAACAAGCUAAAAAAAAAAUACAUGCAAUUAAUUACUAACCCAAUUGUUAGAAUUUGACCUUGUUCUAACAAUUGAGAAAUGAGCCUCAUUGGCUACUCCCAAAGAAAUUAAUUGAUGGAAUUUUCCUAGCUAAUGGUUCUUUAAUACUAUAUUUAUGAAACAUAAAAUAGGUAUAUAGUGCAGCUGCUCUGGCUACUGUAAACCAGCUGUAAAAUUUACAAACUAUUAUUCUUUUUGCACCAUUUAUUCAUAGAUUCGAACCUAGGAAAAUGACCACACCUUUUUCCAGGAAAAGUUGUAGAAGCACAUGAAGAUUUCUUCUUUUAUUUUUUACUGAAAUAAUUAUUCACUUCAUAAAUUUUUCUGUGAUUCCUAUUAAUUUAUACAACAACAACUUUUCAAAAAAAAAAUUAUAUAACAAGAAGUUUUCAUAUAAUAAUGGGUACUCACUAUAUAUUUUUGAGAUAUCUAUGUUCAAACCCUAUUAUUUACUUAGAUACUUAAAUUCUAUAAAUACUUGAUUAAUAUUUAAAAAUUAUUAUCUAACUAUAUCCGUAUUAGAUAGCAUUACGCGUUAAAUACUCAAUUUUUCAAAACUCUUUAAUUUAUGAUUAUAAAGUUUAAUAUUGCCCAAGUUCGAUUCUUCAUGCAAGAAAAUAUAAAUUAUACUUAUUUGCAAUUUUAAAUUGAUUAUAUAAACGAGCUUAAGGUAUGAAUAUCUGAUACUAUCCAAAUAAAAACAUAAUCCGAUAUAAAUAUCAAGUACUUUAUCCGAAUCCAAGACAAAUAACAAACUUCCUACACAAACAUAUUUCGAAUCCAAAUAUAGAAUACACGAAUACUAUAUAAUUGAUCAAAUAGCUCUAGGUAUCUAAAAAUUAAAUACUCAUUGCCAUCCUUAUACGAAAGUAACACGUCAUGUUGGAGACAAAAAUGGUUAGGCUAAUGCUAACCACUUUUAUAUAAGGUAACAUGGACAUGGUCUAAUAUAAACUAAGAUUAGGGUUAAUUGAUUGGGAAAUAAGUAGAUGUUGUGUAUAUGUAUAAUUGUAUAUAUGAGAUCUAUAGAAUAGUAGCCCCACAUGCGGUAGGAACCAAGAGACAUGUGAAGAAAACUUUUGGGAUAACCUUACCUUAUCUGCUCACGGCUGAAAUGCUGAUUGUGGGCGUGGGAGGUCACAGUCACACGCUGCCUGUUGCACAAAGUUGUGCCCUUUUCUUGGUACGUCCGAUCAUCUCUGUCAAGAUUCAAGAUGGAUCGGACUUUUGCUGCUCUUGGUCCUACUUCCCUUGCCUCUCUUCUUGGGAAAAAUGAAGGAAAAAACGAAAGAAAAAGGCAUGGGAAUCAUGGUCUCGUGUGUUGUUCUUCAUACAAACAAAGGGUCUUUCAUGGCUUGUCCUCACCAUCACUCCCUCCUCUUUUGCCACAGAACAAAACAAGAAGUUAAAGAACAAGAAAACUUUGAAUCAAAAUUUUAUAUUUUCUACUAUGUAAAGCAUCCAAAGAAGUUAACACUUUAUUGUUUUGAUUUUGAGUUUUUAAUAUUUUACAUAUAAAGUGUAGUUUGAUAUAUAUACAAGUUAUUGUCCUAAUCGUACAAGUAGUAAACACCAUAUCCACGUAAUUAAUAUAUUAUAUCUUAGUACAUAUUUGACUUAAUUUUUUUUUCAGUUUAUCUAUCUCUUAAAAGUAAAAGUCAGACCAAACAUAAUUUUUUAAGAAGCUCUUUAAAAAAUAAUUUUUUUUUUAAAACAAAAUUUUUAAAAAAAAAGAGCUUAAAAAAAAUUCUAAGAAUGAGCUUUUUCUUCUCUUCUGUUAAAAAUAUGAGAGAAUUUUUAUUUUUAUUUCAGAGAUAUCUUCAUUUAUUAAAAAUAAUUACAAUAUUACCCUCUCACCAUUUGAUAACAAUCGUAUGGUCCAAAAAUUCUCACCAUCACUCGAAAUACAAAGAUUUUUGUUUUCCCUAAGAAAACAAGAACCAUGAUCUGAAUUGGUUUUAGUUCACUAGUUGCUUUCAAAUUGAAGGGCAGAUUUAAAUAAUAACUAAAUUUGUAAAACGACUAGAAAUCCUAGCCAUGAAAGAAGAUUCUUGAACCCUUUUUUUUUCUUAGAAUAUAUGCAAAUUUAGCUAUCAAUGUGUGGCAUGAAAUGGAGUAAAUUGAACAUAUUUAUUAUUCACGUGCCCAUGUUCUAAUUCCCAAAGACAUCAUCUUCAACUUUGGGCUGUCCACUAAAAAUCCCAUUUGCUCCCAACCACAAGCUUGGUUGGCCAACAAUUAUUGAUGAACUUUGAAUUUUACAAAAAAAAAAUAAUAAAUAAAUCAAUUUUAAGACUGAUUAUUAUUAGGUUAAAAUGGUGAAUUUUUAUUUCUUUGUGAAUAACACCCAGAACUUGUAUGUAUAUUAAACUCCAAACUUACCCCUUUUCAUCCUUCGGUUUGGGCUUAUAAGCAUUGGGAAUUGAUUCGGCUGAGGAAACUGGUCUACCUUUUUUUUUCCCUCACCCCAUUUUGUUCCUUCAUGGGCUCCCAAGCCCAUAAUUUGGACACCCACAGUCGUGACGAGUAUGGGUGGUGGUGUAUAAAUUUUACAUAUUAUUAUUUAAUUAAAUAUUAAUAUCUCAUUUACAAAAAAAUUUAAAAUUUAAAAACUUUAAAAGUAAAUAUUUAUAAUUUUAAAAAUAUUUAUUUUGAAAAUCUUUUAACAGUUUAUUUUUACGUAUUUAUAAAAUCUAUUGACACUUUAUGAUUAAGUGAUAAUGUAUAAAUAUUAUAUACGAAUAAUGUAUCAAAUAUAAACGUAUAUAAAUUUAGAGAGAUAUACAAACUAUACAAAGUCGGUGCAAGAUUUCACUUUGAAAAAUACCCGUAUUCAAUUUUUCAUGGUUUGUAUCAUAAAUAAAUUUACUCAAACCAUCAAAAAAAAAAUUUUCAAACCCAUGCAAAGAGGAAGGUAUCAAAAGAAAGAAAAAAUGUACAUGUAAGAAAACGAAAAUUCUUCUCUUUAGAUCCGAAUAAUUCUCAGUCCAAGCUGAUUUCUAUAGCUAUCCUUCUCCUUCUCCAUGCUUUGAACCGAAAACAUGGGAAGCAUCAAUAGCAAGACAAGAACAAGAACAACAAGAUCAUCAAAAACAACAAAAAAGCAAAAAACAAAGAAGAAAAACUGCAAAGAAAUUGCAAGAAACUUUCACCCUUUAACAACAAAUGACCUCUACGCAGCAGCGCAUGCAACAGAGUAGCUUUAGAGGGAUCGUCAUUUAUUUCUUCAUAGCCAUGGCUUUGCUUUACAUUCUGUACUCGAAUCUCCUGCUGAGCAAUGACCGCAAAGAUUGUCCUGAUGUAACCAAUCUCUCCACAAAAAUUGAAGCAGCAGUACCCUUCAACUAUUCCCCCACCACCUCUUCACAAGUUGAAAAAAUUGUAGAGGAAAAGAAAGUAGAGCCUGUACUUGAACCAGCCCCAGGUUACCAUCGAUAUGACUUAGAGCUGAAACACAUUGCUUUCGGGAUCGCAGCUUCCUCAAAUUUGUGGGAUAUCAGAAAAGAGUACAUAAAAGUAUGGUGGAGGCCGAAUGAGACUAGAGGGGUAGUUUGGAUGGAUAAGCAAGUAAGGACCAGGAGAAAUGAAGGGCUGCCUGAGAUUCGGGUUUCUCAGGACACUUCCAAGUUUAAGUACACAAACAAGCAGGGCUCGAGAUCGGCACUGAGGAUUUCAAGGGUUGUUUCGGAGACACUUAAGCUUGGAAUGAAGGAUAUCAGUUGGUUCGUAAUGGGGGAUGAUGAUACAGUUUUUAUUGUGGACAAUGUGGUAAGGGUGCUUUCCAAGUAUGAUCAUACACAGUUUUAUUAUGUUGGGAGUGCAUCAGAGAGUCAUAUUCAGAAUAUAUUUUUUUCAUAUGCUAUGGCCUUUGGAGGGGGUGGAUUUGCAAUAAGCUAUCCAUUGGCAAAAGAAUUGGCAAAGAUGCAGGAUAGGUGCAUCCAGCGAUAUCCAGCAUUAUAUGGCAGUGAUGACAGGAUUCAGGCUUGCAUGGCUGAGCUAGGAGUGCCUCUCACCAGGGAACUUGGCUUCCAUCAGGUAAUCUUCGGCCUCUUCGAUUUCGCUCUUGCCCUAUUCACAAUGGGAAAGAAUGAAAAUAUAUGAAAUUAUAAACUAGUUAUAAAUUUAUAAAGUAGGAUAGGAAAAGGAAGCCCUUCUUUAUCUUCAUUCAAGAAUUUGGAAAGCGGGGGUAACUUGUUUUUUUCUUAUGCUUGUACAGUAUGAUGUUUAUGGAGAACUAUUAGGCCUGCUGGGAGCCCACCCAGUGACUCCAUUGGUAUCACUCCACCACCUAGAUGUAGUGGAACCUAUAUUCCCUGGCAUGAAACGAGCCAGAGCCCUUGCACACCUGCUUGAAGCUGCCAAAGAGGACUCGGCAAGUCUGGUGCAGCAAUCCAUCUGCUAUGACUCGAAACGAUUCUGGUCAAUCUCAGUCUCUUGGGGCUAUGUGGUUCAAAUCUCGAGGGGAGUAAUGUCUCCCAGAGAGCUUGAGAUGCCCACUAGAACUUUUCUUAAUUGGUAUCGGAGGGCUGAUUACACUGCUUAUGCAUUUAACACUAGGCCCGUCGAAAGGCACCCUUGCCAAAAGCCUUUCGUUUUCUAUAUGAGCAAGAUCAAGUAUGAUCGUGCUAGGAAGCAGACAAUAGGGGUGUAUUAUCGCCAUAAAACACGCAGCCGUUAUUGCCGUUGGAGAAUGGCCUCUCCUGAGAGAAUUUAUUCUGUUGUAGUCCUAAAGAAACGAGAUGAUCUUCGAUGGCAGAAGGUGCACUUUCUACGCUUUUUCUAUUCAGAAUGUUAUUGAGUAGAACACUGUCCAAAGAAAUUACAGAUGCUGUUACUAACUGAAUCCCAAUUUCGUUUUGUAGUCGCCAAGGAGGGAUUGUUGCAGAGUUCUUCCAUCAAGGAAAAAUAAUACAAUGGUUUUAUCAGUAGGAAAUUGCAGAGAGGGUGAGGUUAAUGAAUUACAGACGAAAAGGGGAUCUUCAUAGGUCUUUUUUUUUUUUUUUAUCUUCUUUUUUCACCAUGGCCCAAGGCAUACAGCAUACAAGAAUAAGUUUAAUGCCAAGGGUCUCAAGAAGAACAGAGAUCAGAGGUAAUUUUGAUACUCCAACAGGCUCAGGAAAGAAAACUAUUUGCCCACAUUACUAAUCAUGAAAUGAGUCAUACAUGAUUGCAUGCGUUUCUCUCUUGUUGGUGUCUGUAUUUGUAAUUCAAUACAAACAAAUCAACAACAGUUUAUAUGCAGAAUCACUUGUUACAGAAGGUUCCCUUACUAUCUCUUUUGCCAUAUUCAUGAUACAGCAAAAGGAAAAAUGUUGUACCUCUAAUUCCAUAAGGGGGGCACUUGAGAUCCUAACUACAACAUCGACAGAAAAGAGAAUUCCUAAAAACUGUUUUCUAUUUUCAGAAACAAAUUCUUCAAUUACUUUCACUCACUGCAUGUGCUUCAGUUCCAUUCCCUGUGAGAUUCUGUGGGACUGAGGCGAUUGGAGAUGUAGCAGACGCCAGGAUGGCGAGUUCAAUCUGAGAAGUAUUAAGAGGCAAUGGCAUUUCGACCGGAUGUAUGGCCACAAUUCUGCCAUCCUUGAUCUCCACAGUCACUGCUUUAAUUUUCAAACCAAAAACAAAAGAUUCAGAGGUAAUCAACACUGAGCAAAAGCAAGUUUUUGAGAUACACGAAAGUAGUUUCGUCUGCAAUUGCCUUUUCUUUUUCUUUAUAUCUGCUUUCUUGAGGGUCAAACAAGAUGGCAUAACCCCAAAAGCUAUUUUACUACUGUCAGAAUCAAAACAAAUUCUGGCUUCUGAGGCAUCCAAUGAAUAGAAACCAAAAGGAAUGAUCAUUUAAGCAACUUAAUGAUUUUCUUUCCUUUUCAUGCCAUUUUUCUUGAGAUCCAAACAAAGGCUACAGGACGAUUUAGCAAUAAUUCUAAUAACAGAACUGCUUAGAAUGAGACUGCAAAAGCUUUAAUUUCUUUUAUUCUCACACUGUAAUCACAAUCAAGACACAAAUAAUGGUCUAAAGAUUAAUAAAUAAUAAUUAACAGAAGCCGAGAAACUAUCAAACAAUUAUUAGCAAAAAGCCAGCUUCAAUUUAACCCAUCAAAGAAAUAAAGCCAGAAACUUUACUUCCUCACCAAUGAACAGACAAGAAAGGGAACAUUUGAAGAAAAACUAGAAAAGGGAUCUUGAAAACGAAUGCACCCAAUCUAGGACAACAUCAAGACAGACAGAAAUCAGAAUAAAGAAGGGAGAGCUUGCAUGGUUUAUUGAAAAUCUUGCAGAAGAACAUCAACGCUACCUGGACGAGAGAACCACCAGAGGAUGAAGAAACUGAGUAGGACGACCACGGGAAUGGCAUGGGUCCAUUUCUCUGCCAAUGGAAACACUCGAGACUUAGAGGCCCCUCUUUCCUUCUUGGCAACUUUACCCUGUGGUAGCGAAACUGGAAGAUGACCAGGUCUCAUCAUGUUUCAGGAGAUCUGCUUUUCUUCAAGCUGCUUGAGAGAGAGAGAGAGAUUUGCUGAAGAUUGAGAUGGAGAAAACGUUUGGCGUUGUCUUGUAGGGAGCUGAAGUAAGAGGGCUAUGGUUUGCGGUUAGUUAGUUUGGCUUCUAACGACUUUAGGCGGGAAAUCUUUUGGUAUGCGACAGGAAGAGAACUUUGUGGGAAUCCAAAACUUUUUCAAUCUUAGCAAAGGUUUGGAAUUAGAAAGCAAUAACUGGGUGAACUCAGCCCAGCGGAGCUUAGCUGAAGCCUUUCCAAGAUCCUAAUGAAUGCGGCUUUCUUUCUCAUAACUGACGUUUAAUGAUAUAUAAGCUAAUACUGAAUAUUCACUUCGUACAUGUAAGACUGCAAAAGUGACUCUUGAGUUUGGAAUUUGGGGUUAAAAUUAACAAAUCACCCUUUUCAUUGUAGGAUUAAGCACGAGAGCAACAUGGGAAGGAACUCAUCACUGUGAAUAGUAAGGUUAAUUUAUUAUUAGGUGAAAAUGGUUCCUACAAAGAAGCAUCCUACAUACAAGGACCCCAACUCACAUGUACAGCAGCAGAAGUGGGGGGAAAGGAAGAAAGGAAAUCUCUGUAUGUGAAGAUUUAAAGAUGGAAAGUGUGCCAGUUAUCUUCUGUGAUGCAAAAAUUGAUAACCAGGCACUGUGAAUUAACACCGCUGAACAAUAUUUGCCACUUUCUUUUAUUUCUAAUUUUGUCCUCCAGCUCAGUAAGUCUUAGGCUCAUGAUCUGCAACUGGUCCUCUAUCGUCAUCCCUAGUCACAGCCAAUGUAGCAGUGCUCCUGCGAGAGCUCUGAACAGGAUUGCUUGGGUCAUAUUGCUGGGAGGCUAGGUAAUUCAGAGCCAUAACCACAUCGGAUAUGGCUGGCCGCAUAUUAGGUUGCUCCUGAACACACAUUGCAGCAAUGGCAAGCGCUUGGUACAGACCUCUCACAGGGUAUUGACCUUGCAGCAGAGGGUCAACCAUUCGUGAAAAAUUCCUUCGAUCUCUGAACAUGGGCCGUGCCUGCAAGCAAAUAAGCAAUUAAGCAUUUAUAGAACAGAUCCAAGGAACCACUUGCAAUAAUUACUAUUUCCCUUCAUCAACUUGCCUUCUAAAACCAGUUCCUUAAUUGCUAUAUAAUAGUAGAAUUAUCAGCUAGAAGACACAGGACAAAAACUACACUUGGCCAAAAAUAUUUAACCCACAAUUUCUUACAGAAUUUCCUUAUAAAAUGAAGAUAUCAAAGCAAAAGAUAGAUGACACUUCCAGCAAACUUAUUAAGGAAAAAAUCAAUUGAGAUUAUAUACUACAAAACAAAACCAGAUUCAUCACUAUCGCACUUUUAAACAGAACUACAAUCCCAAUAAAUAUGAUAAACAGGCCAAAAUGAGUGAAGACGGAAGAAUGAUUUUUAACAGACAAUCUUAAAAUGGAAAUAUAACCAAUUGAAAUAUCAAAGACAUUAAUUAAUAAAAGUGGAAUAAGCUUUAUCUUACCCAUGCAACAAGAUUUUGCUCCCCAUGAUCUCUUGUAUUGUCGAUUGCUUUCCUACCAGUAAUUAGUUCCAAAAGGACAACCCCAAAGCUGUAAAUAUCUGAUUUAAAGGUCAGCUGUCCAGUCAUUGCAUAAUCUGGCGCACAAUAUCCAUAUGUCCCCAUAACCCUUGUAGAGACAUGAGUCUUAUCCCCAAUGGGACCCACUUUGGCCAACCCAAAAUCAGAUAGCUUCGGAUGGUAUCCCUCACCAAGCAAAAUAUUGGAGCAUUUCAAGUCACGGUAUAUGACAGGGGGCUUCAUUUUAUCAUGCAAAUAUUCUAAGCCCCUUGCAGCACCAGCUGCUAUUUUCAUCCUCAUGUUCCAAUCAAGUGGUUUUCUGCUAGGUGGAAGAUCUGUAGCCAUGGAGGAGAAACGAUAAGAAAGUUCAUGACAUAAUUGGUAGAGAUAUCAUAAAAGGUAAACAGUAAAAUAACAAGAUCAGCACGGAAAUGCUAAGAAGAUUUUGCUUACCAUGUAAAUGGUUCUCCAAAGACCCUAAUGGCAUGUACUCAUAAACCAGUAGUCUCUGCUCAUCCUCAGCACAAAACCCUAUCAAUUUUACUAGAUUUGGGUGCUCAGCCAUGCUUAAUGUCAGUACUUCAACAACAAACUCCCUAACGCCCUGAACACCAUUACGAUCAAGUUGCUUGAUAGCGACAACCUACAUCAGAAAAAAAAAAGAACAGCAAAGUAACCACCAAAUUCACCAAAGAUAAUGCAGAACUGAGAUAUAAUACAGGUUCACCUAGUAUAAUACAGGUUUGUUAAGUUGAACUGAGAUAUAAAACAAUUAAGUUAAGUAAACCAAGUAAUUGAGUAACAAAGUUUUGAUAGGAUAUAUUCAUAAUUUUCAACAACAUUGACAGCAAGACAAUAUAAACUCAACUAACCUCGUUUGUUUUCUCCAAGAAUCCCUUGUAAACUUUUCCGAAACCUCCUUCGCCCAAGAAACAAUCCGAUCUAAAGUUGCCUGUUGCAGCUGCGAGCUCAGCAAAUGUAAAUGAUUGUGCCAGUUGGCUAGCUUUUCCAUCCUUGGAAACCUCAUCAUUCAAAUUCAAAUUCUUUACAUCCAACGAUAACUGGUCAUCCUUGGCUACCUCUUCCUUCUUUACACUCUCAUAUGGACUGACUUUCAGUGCGUCUUUUAGCAGAUGUAUCAAAAACCAAACAAAAAAAACCAAGAAAAAGACAUAAGCCAAGGCCCCAUGAAUAGGAAAGGCCAAACAGAGAUUUUUGUUUAUAAAUGGCCACAAUCAUCAAUUUUUAAAGUGAACAAAGAACAAACAAGGACAAAUAGAACACCCAGUACGGAUUUUGGAUUAUAGAAUUGAUCUUUCUUCCCUAUCAUGCAAACAAACAAAAAACCUACUAACAUAAUUGCACAUACAGCACAUGUUAAGAAGAUACUAUAUAAAAAUUUCACCAAUACAUCAUAAUUAAAUCACUACCAAUCUGCUCAAAGAACAUAUUAAAUGGAUAAAAGAAGUACUUAAAACGCGAAGUCAUUAGCUUUAACAAUGGAAAAAUAUGAGAUAUAGAGAAAGAAAACAUCAUGACCAAAGAAGAAUCCAUUUUGAUUUCAACACCCCUUAUCAACAAAAAACCAAAGUAACGAAAAAUUGUAAAAGAAAAUUGGGUUAGGAAGAAAAUCGACAACAAAAAUGUUCUAAAAUCGGAUACCUUGAUUUCCUAGGAGAACAACAGAAAGAUCAAGAGUGGCACAUAUCGAAACAAAAAAACACAAGAAAAAUAGUGAUAACAGCAACAACAAAAAUCAAACACAUGAUCAGACACAAUGCAUUUCAUUUCACAAAAAAAAAAAAGAGAAAGAAAACAAUAAAAAAAUGCAUAGAAUUAAAACAUAUUCAAUACCCGAACUGGCUUGUGUAUGAUCAUGGUGUGUGUUUCUCUUGCUGCUGUAGUCACUCCCGUUCCUGUUCUUGUUUGUUGGCUUCUCUGAUCUUUGGCUUGAAUUCCCAGCGCAACAAAAACAACCCAUACUCAAUAAUAAUUAUAAAACAAUAAUAAUUGUAAUUAAAAUCUUUCCCUCCUUUUCUCUAUUUUUCUUUCCCUUUCUCUCUCCUUCUUUCUUUUUUCCUGCUCUUUCUCAGCUGCACAGAGAAAAUUUGAACCCCCAAGAAAGUACCAACAGAACAGAAGGAAAAGCAAAUGCUUCGAAAGAGAGAGAGGAGAGGAAGACAAAUUAGUACAACCUUAGGAGAAAGAAAAUCAGAACGAAGGAAAAUAAAUUUUCAUUUGAGGGUUUUAUUCGUUCUAUUUCUUAUAAUUUUAGGUAGUAUUCAGGCGUAAACCAAUUCAGGAAGACUCGUUGAAGACUAAACUCAAAAGAAUGCGCCACGUCAUAUAGAAAAGGGUUUUUGGGUCAUAUCAUGUGGGAGAAACAGUGCAGUAGUUUUUUGUCCGGUUCCUGUUCUUAAAAAAAACCCAUUUGCUUACGUGGUGGCCUUUGAUUGUCCCACAGUGAUUCGGCCGCGAGUCAGUCGUCGCAACAGAUCUUUGUCCUCUUGUAUAGUGGAAAAACAAAAUUUUCUUUUUUUUUUUUGUUUGUGUGAGUGCCACUUGGCAGGUGACGUAUGCAUCACAGCCAGCCUUUAAUCACCGUCUAAUAUUUCAAAUUUAAGGAAGGUCAAACGUUUCGGAGGGAGCCACCUGGAUUGUGGGACCCACUGGCACACGCGGUUUUUUGUAUUCAUGAUUCAUUUAACAGCUGAACGGUGAUCCACGCGUUUCAAAAAAAAUUAAAAAUACUCGCAAUCAACAGUCUAGAGGAUCCAGGCCAAUGGUGCGGUUACAUCUGUCAGGCUUGAACUGGGUUCCACAGCAGCUGAUCACCGCUGGAAUUUAAAUUUCACUGUACAUCAGUUGGUAAACGCUUUGGAAUUCGGUUUAGCGCAGGCAGGAAAGUUCCAGCCUCCAGGAAUUUUGCAAUCCUUUCCCCUUUCCCAUUUAAUACUACUAAUAUUUUUAAAACUUAAUUUCCCAUAAAUUUUAUGCCUUUGUUUUUCAAUUUUCUAAAAUUUUCAUAUAUUAUUAAUAAAUUAAAUAUUAUAAUCUUGUUAAUAAAUAAAAAUAAAAAUUCAAAACCCUCAAAAAUAAAUAUUUGUAAUUUUAAAAAUAUUUAUUUUAAGAAUUUUAGAAUUAAUUUUUACAUAUAUAUGAAAUAACAUUAUGUAAUUCAAUGAUAAUUUAUAAAUAUUAUAUAUUUUAAUAAUAUUUCUGUUAUAUAUUUGUACAUACACUCUUUUGUUAAAAAUAAAAUGUUACCUCUCAUAUUUAUACAAUUCUUUAAAAAAAAAUUAUAUUAUCACUUUCUUAUUGAAAUCAUCUUACCGCUUCAUGUAUUAAAAAAGUUAUAUUUAUGAAUGAUAAUUAAUCAAAUAGUUACAUCCUCAAAUUCAAUAUUACUAAGAUUAAACACUUCGAGAUACGUGUAAAAAGAACAAAGAUUUUCUUACUUUUUUAGUUCUAAUUUUGAAUUUAAAGUAAAAUUACAAGUAAGUUUCAACUUAUUACAAAAAUACUGUUUUUAUGGAAAUGCCCAAAUAAAUGGAAAUUCUUCUCCAUUGAUUUGACAUUAAUUAAACAAGCAUUGCAUAAACAAAUGUCAAGCAAAGCUUAAGUUUCAAGGUAAUUGCUCUUUAUAUAUAGUAAUUAGUAUCAUUAAUGAUUACUUUUGCCAAAUAUGAAAAAAAAAAACUUAAUUUUAAAGUAUAUAAAGGUACAAAUUUUGUUAAGAGACCAAGAUUUAUAAGUUUAGAAAAGAUUACAUUUUACAUGAAUUAUCAAUAUGUCAUAAUCUUUUUUAAAAAAUAGCUCGUAUACAAUUUAUUUCUAAAAUAAUUUUAUAAUUAAUAAUGCAUUUAUAUAUCUGUUCAAGUUUUAAUAAAUUUAGCACAAUAAAUAUAAAUAAAAAAAACACGAGAGUUUCAAUCAACAAAGUAGUUCGACGGGUGGAUUUUUUUUUUAAUUUUGAUUAUAAAUUUAAAUUAUAAUAAUAUGAAGGAUACAAAAACUAUAUACCUAAUUCCCAUACGUGUUCAUAAAUCCAAUCAAAUAACAACAUAAUUAGGGCAUGGCCGGUGCACCAAAAGGUCUAGAAAACAAUAUUAUAUUAUGAUUGAUAUAGAAACUUCCAACUAUAUAAAAAAAAAUCAUUGGUUAAUUAUCAAAAGAAACAGAAGCCACAUGUAGGGGUAAGAUCAAUAAUAAAAACUUAGGUAGAUUAAUACACUUGGCACAUACCCAAACCAAAAUUGGGAUUUAAAUGUUAUAUUUUACCUAAAGUUUUGAGAUAUUUAUUUCAUUAAUGAUUUGAUUUAAUUAUCCCAAAGUUGAUGAGUGGGGUAUUUGGACUAAGACAGACAGAAAAGAUUGGUGGUUCAUUACCAAUUAGAGACAUCCAACCGUUUUUUCAGUUAAUUUUUUUUUCCAAUGAGAGCUUAAACUAAUGAUCAUGUUUGGCAACCAAGAUUUUAUGUCUAAGCAAAAAGACAGGACAUUUACACAUGACAGGAUUUUUUAACGGAAUUUUUUAUCAAAAUUUGUUAAUAAUUAUAUUUUUAUUGGAUUUUUAACUUUUUUUGACAAAAAAAUGGGAACUUUUUUUAGUGUGAAGAGAUUAAAAUAAGUGGAAUUAGAAGCUUAAUUGAUAAUAUUAAAAGCUAGUAAAGUGGUAAUCCCAUGUGCUUGGCUUGUAAAGGAAAAAGCUUUGUUUCACCAAAAUUGAUAUGGAAAUCAUCCUUUUCUUUAUCUCUAACUCGCUUUAUUUGUAUUUUGCAAUUUUUUUAAUUUAGACUCAAUUAAUUAGUCAUGAUAUUUUUUUAAAAGUUUAAUUUAACUUACGCGUGUAAUUCAUAGGUUUGUGUAUAAAAUUUAAAAGUUUUAUCAUCGAUAUAUAUAAUAAAAUUAAAAAAAAAAAAAAAAAGCACAAGGAACAUAAUUUCAUGUAUGAUUGAUUCAUAGUCACAAAAGUCACAAAGGGGGACCAAAUACCUCAUUGCCCUUUAUUUUUUUUUGCUUUUGUGUUGUAAUUGGUAGCAAUUAAUAAAGCCACAGUUUAGGACUUUUAGGGCCAAUUGUUUUGUGUCAGACAAAAGUUGACCUUUGAGUUGUUAAUUAGAAUUGUAGUCCCAAAAUUUUGUUUUUAAAUUUGGAUUUUGUUAAUAAUUAUUAUAUUAAAUAGUAUUAUAUAUGGUAUUAAAUUCUUUUAUUUAGUAUAAAUAUGUUUUAAUGAUAUAUAUUAAAACAUAUUUUUAAGAGACACCAUAAUAAUUUUUUUUAAAAUAUUAAUAACUCAAAUUUAAACUCGAACUUUUUUUUUUGUUAUUUAAAAAGAAAAAGAAAGAACAAAAUAACACCUUUUGAGAGGUAAAGACUCAUUGCUCACAUUUUUUCUUUUCAUUUGCUUGUAUCCAACAACAGUAGCAGAAAGUUCCCACUUAUUACUUAUCAGCUUUGCAAUAAUCAUGCUUUGCUUUAUGAAAUUGUUCUUUUCCCCUUUUCCCAUUGUUUUAAUGUAAAAAGAAUUCCCUUAAUAAUAGACACAGUGAUUAUAUAUUCGAAUAUUUAAUUCAUUAAUUAAUACAUUAUCUUCUAUCAAAAUAAUAAGAUUUAAAUCUUCUUUUUUCAAAACAUAAAAAUAAAGAUAAAGAUUAUAGAGAUAGGCAUAGAGCCAUUUAUUUAGUUCCUAUUUUCAUUUCCCCCCCACCCCCCCCAAGUUUGAGCUCAUGUUCUUACUCUAUUCAGGCAUAGAUAGGAGUCCAGGAAGGAGAUUGUCUCUUUCAAAUUAGGUUAAUAGACAUCUAUUUCCUUGAUGCACAUAUUGAAAAGCGACAGAUUUACGACAUUACUUGAAGACAUACAAUGAUUUAAAUUACUGUUAAAAUAAGAGAAAAUCUUGAUCUAUAAACUCGAAACUCUGAUAUUGGGUCUCUAUCUUCAUUGAUGCACAUGCUAUGGUAAAUGAGUGAAAUCUUGAAGCUUAAGUUUAAGACUUUCUUUCCUUCACUCACCCACUUUCUAGACAAUGAUUUAAAGUUGUGAAAGGAAGGGGAGCUUUAGCCUUUUGUCAAUCUUUCCUUCCUACUGAUUUUCUUCUUUGUCAAUAAAGCCUGAAACAAAUGUUGACCAUGUGUCUUGCCAGAUACUGCUAGCACUUAAGGAGUGGGGGGUGAAGUUAAAAGAGAAGGAAUACUUUACAUGGCGUAUAGCAAGGAAUCAAACAAGUUAUGGUACAUUUUCUUCUGCCAAAAUAUCGUGGUUGUUGAUCCACCAUUUAAUAUAAUCCAUCAAUGCUGUUGCCAAUUGCAUUCAAGAGGAGCAACCACCAUUGCAUUUAAGAAAGAUCCUGUCUAAUUGUAGAAAUAUAAAUUUUUUUUAUCUCGUUUCAUAAUUUUAUAUGUGUUUUAUCUUAUGUUAUUAAUUAAAAACUUUAAUAAGAUAAAAGAUUUAUUAAACACAAGAUAUAAAAUUACGAAAAAAAUAUCAAACGAGAUAUCAAAUAAGACAGAAAAUUUCUACUCGAAUAUUUUGAAGUUCUUAUCCUAAAGUUGGAAACAGUUCAUUAAAAUGUUAUUGCCAUUACUAUAAUAUCUUCAACCAAUUCGAUCUUCUAUCCAAGAGUUGAAGGAGCUAGGAAGAGUGCCCAAAUUUCUAGGGGCUGAGAGGGAGCAAAUUCUUUGCUUAUCACAAACUCUCUAAUGGCCCAAGCUGUUAAAUGAGUCAGCAACAGCUAAAAAAAGAGGUCAUGGUUUGGUUUGAAGUUGAGUGUAGGCCCUCCUUUCAGCUAUAUAAACCUUCCUGCCUUCUACGGUUUGCCUUGUCGUAUUUCCUUUUUCUAAUUAAGGAGAACCGCUAUUCUGGUAGCAGAUUUCACUUUUUCAAUGACAAGGUCGUGUAGUUAAUUUGUACGAGUCCUACAAGUUUACUUUGCAUCCGACCAAGCACUUCCCUUGACUUCCAUCCAGUUUCUGGAACAAGAAUUCUGCAUUCACAGAGACCAACUGACGCUAGAACCCAGAAUUCAUCAUCUGGUGUUUGUUUCUUAUGUCUGAAAAUUGAAACCUUGUAAACCAUGGGUGACAUAGCCUAUUUCCUGAUCAUGAGAUUCAGUGAAAGAACUGCCACCAUUGAAGAUCCAUAGAGGGAGCUUCAGUUAGAUAUAAUUGCAUCAUCCUAUUAAGAAUAAAUAAGAUUUCUAGUUAAGAAUUGAAUUAGGACAACAGAGUUUGAAGUACAGAGACACCAACGCCUGCUUAAUUCCAUGAAGAAUAAUAGGAAAUUAUCCCAUCCAAGAUCAGUCUCCAUGCAGCAAUUCAUCAUAGUUUACAAUGAUAACAUACAGUUCAAACUAUUCAUAUAAGUUCUAAAAUUCUAUUGUUUGUUUUCGUGCAAUAUACUAUUAGCCCCUCAUCAAAGGAAAAGAGAAAAAAACCCAUCAGUCCAUAUGGAAUGUAUUCCUUCCCUAAACACACAGCCAGUGCUCGUCUCAUUUACAAAUAUUUAUAUGCAUUAGCAGGGAAAAGGGUCAAGUUAGCAAUCUGCAACCCUGCCUGUGUUAUCUUACACUAUCAGAAGAAUUGUCUUCAGAUGCGAGGCCAUUACUCACACAAUCUUUUCCUCCAUCAGAAUCAGACCUGAGAAGCAAAGAGAUAGUCAGAAAACUGUUUAGAGGUGUACUAAUCAUGAUGAAUCAAUAAUCUACAUUCCAGUUUGAAUCAUCAUACACUAGCUGCCGCACAAACUGUCCCUUGACACGAGGUCGUUGUUCUGCCAGCCUUUUCCUGCUCUGGUAUCUGACCUGAGAAGUAAGAACCACAGAAGGCAGCUUAGUUUGAUCAUACUCUUACUAGGCAAGUGCCGACUUCACAUUCUUCUUACAAAAAUCAACAGCAGGCUGAAUUCACAUUUAUAGUGCUGCUAUAUUCGCUCAACUAUCCAUAGAAGUUGGUCCGAGUAAUAAGGCAAAUUGUUUGCAGACAUGCAAUUUUUGUGAGUGCAAUUAAAAACAAGAGAUGCACGGAUUACACAAUUGAUAAGAAGUGAACCCAUUAUAAACUAUUUUAAGAACAUUCAGAAGAGAGUUAAAAGAAAUGAAUCACUUCGUGUAUCACUCCAUGUAAACACUACUUCUGUUUCAUCAAUUCAAUUUAUCCUCAACGCUAUAAUUGACAUUCUUACAACUUCCUGGUUGGAUCAUGCAAAUCCGUUAUAUGCUUCUAGCCAGGUGUGAGAUGAUGCUGUCCAAUUCCUAUCAUCCAUUAAACUUUCAGACACUUAGAAAUGAAUAUCCUAUCCAAUAAGGUAAACAUGACAUAAUUUGAAACUUGGAAACAAACUCUUUGAUUUAUUAAGACAAUUAUACAGUUACUAUGCAAACCAUAUUGUUGCUCUAUUGCAAAGACAUAAAUGAAAAAGCGAAUUACCCGCUUCUCAAAACAUCUUUCUUUCCUUUUCUGACGGAAUUUGGUCAAGGCAGCCACUCUCUGUGCAACCCUAUCUUCAUCUGCUCCACUACCGCUGCUUCUCCCACUCAUUGCACCAGCUGCCCCAUUUUCACUUUCCAUGAUUGCCUGUUCAGCAUUUAAAGCAGUGCUGCUCCCAUUAGGUCCAUUGCUGCCAUAGUUACUCCCCGAGGCACUCCCAUUUACACUAUAGUUCAUAAUAUUACAUUCAGAGGGCCCUUCAAACACAUUGAAUGAUCCACAUUGUGGAGCAGUUACAGCCAUAAUCUUCAGUGAGGUAUCAUGGUCUGGCUGCAACUGAUGCUGCUCUUUCUCAACUUGGUGGAGAUGACAUUGGUGCUGCACGUGAAACACCUGGUUUGAACUUCUCGAUUGUGAAUGAGCAGUUUUAAAUCCAGUAUCAUCUGCCUUCUCGGUUAACACGUCAUGUGAUGAACAAAUAUGACCAUUCUGCAUUGGUUGGAAGGAAGAUGAGUGAGAGUGUUUAAAUGCUGACAUGGCCCCGCACUUGUCAUUCAAAGCUUCUGGCUUUGAGCUGGCACAUUUAGCAGCGGUGAUAACAUCAUUUUUGUUGCUGCUUCCAAUUGAUGGCUGAUUCAAAAGAAUCCCAUUUGAUUGAGAUGCAAAAGUGCGCACUGUUUCUGUCUUCAUUGUAAUAGAACUAUUAUCAAGUGGAGAACAGCUUCCUACAUUUCCUGUGGGAACCUGGAAUCAGGGAAACCAAAAUUAGACCAACUCAAAGAGUCUUGCCCUAUGGACUCACUCUUUUUAUGGUUUUACUAUCAUAUCAUUGGCAGCACAAUAGUUGCAGUAAGCAACAUGCAAGCAAGUGAUUAAGUGGAAAAGGGGAAAUGUUGUGAAUUUGCAGUGAUUAAAACAUUGACAUCCGCUAUACUUGCCGCCUGAGUGCUAUAUACCAUACCUGAUUAGCAGAGGAUGCGGUACUGUAUCUGCAUAUUAAGUACAGGAAAGGAAGGAAAGUGAGAAGAAUGAUUUCAAGUUUGAUUGUAAUAUGUUAAAAGCAAUAAUGUGGUUUAGAGUCUGCAAGUAACAUUCUUACUUUGAGAAAGCUGACGAAUCAGAAUGUCUCAAAACAUUGUGCUCAUCAUUGGCAGCGAUUUGACUAUCUGCUGCUCCUUGUAGCCUCUUAAGAGUCAGUUCAAGUGAUGGUGUUUCUCCAGACCCAUGGCAUGUUCCAUCUUUGACUUCUGGGAUAUAAGAAGGGCCAUUGGGGGCAUCAGAAUCUCUGCUUUCAGCUUGUUGAUUGAGACAGCUGGAAAUUGUACUAAUUACAUUAGGGGUUCGAUCCUUGCCAGCUAUGUUCUCAUUCUGGUGCUCCAACUGUCUGCUGUCAAAUUGCUUGCAUUCUGCUUCAGGCAAUCCAUUCUGCUUUAUGCUUUCCUGAUGAGUAGGUAGAUUUUCAUGUUGAUGUCCACUUUGCAGUUCUGGAUUUCUUUUAACUCUUAGUUCCACGUCCUUGCCCUCUGCAUCAUCAUCUAGAAAACAAGUGCAUAGAGCUUUAUUCACAAACAAGAAAAAGUGAAAGAAAGAUCUAAAUGAUCAAAACAGAAUAUCACAAGGCAUACCAACUAACUGAUGCUGUUCUUGGCAUUCUUUUGCCUUGGUAACACAUACCCACUGAAUCCUACAUUUUUCAGGCUUUAAAUGGACCACCUGAGCGCAAGUGCUAUCAGGAGCAUCAGGCAAUUGAUUUGAGGAUGACAUUGGCUGAGAGCUCUCAGCUUCAGCUGCCCUUUUUGUCCAUGAACCCUAGAAAGAGUAUAAACAAUCUUAACCAUAACUAUCAGUAAUAUCCUAGAUCUCAGAUGUUAAAAGUUGAAAAGAUUAAUAAUUGCAGUAAUAAUCCCUCCCCCUAAGUUUUCCCCAUUUAGUUGUGUAACUUACAACUAUUUGCAUAUCCUUACCUGAGUGCCACUCCCAUUUUCGCUUCCAUCAUGGACAAUCAGAUCAUCACUCUUGUUAUCAUGCUCAUCACUGCUGCCAGCAUAAUUCUCAGACUCAUCAUUACUUUUUGACUUAAUAUACCUUUUUGACUGGGUUCCACUUUCACUCCCACUGCCGCUAGACUAAGAAAGAAUGAGAUAUUAAUCCAAAAUUCAGGAGAUACUUUAAAACUCAUUGCCUUCAUUGAACUGGAUGGCAACACUACAAUAAGAAAUAAGACAUACAAUUCCACUAGACAAAACCACCAUUUGGAACAACAUAAGUUUAAAGAACCUGAAUCAAUUGCUUUUAAAAGACGUAAAGUUUCCCGGGAAAUUUUGUGCAUCAGCACUUUCUAGGGAAGGUGAAUUGAAUCUCUGAAUAUAUACUGACAAUGAAGCCAAAAUCCAAUUGAUUCGUAAGACAUAAUCACAUUUGAAGCAGAGAUGUAGCGGAACUCACACUGUGGCAUCUCCUCCAAACAUGCUGCCAGAGAUUUUUAAGUUCAUUCUUCCGAAUAGGUUUUACUAAAAAAUCAACUGCACCCUUUGACAAACAUUUAAAGACUAGGCUGAUAGAAUCAUGAGAUGACAUCACUGCAAAUUUACAGCAUGUCAAUAGUGGUGAUAAUUAUAUGCGUAAAGCCAGAAAUAAUGAUUAAAAAUUAGACCUUACCUCUCAAUUAAAACAAUUUCAAACUGCUAGUGAAUGAUACUUACUUAUCACAGGGAUGUUCUUGAAAGUUUUGUGGUUCAUAAUCUUGUAUAAAAGACCAAUUCCUGAUAAAACAGGCAUGGCUACCUCUGUCAGGACAAUAUCAACGUGGUUCGUCAGAUCUUCUAGGACUUUCCACGCUUGAAGAUCAUUUGCAACAGCCGUAACUGCCAAGACCAUAUUUUAAGGUUUUAAAUGUGCGGGAGAAAGAGUGGUUAAGCUUGACUUUCAACUUCUUAGGGCUUUUAAUGAACACGAAUGUCUAGUCAUAGACAGUGUAACUUCUCCAAUGGCCUUUCACAUAAUAAAAUAUAAAAGCACCCUAAAUUCAUUCAUUUAAGGUUCUUUUAACUGAAAUUGUAAAAGUUCCAGUGGCAUGCCCAUUGAACACCAUUUAAAGCUUGAACCAUCCCAACCCAUUUGUAUGGUGCAAAGUAAAGAAAUCUAAACCACAUUAUGCAAAUAUUCCUAAAGUUUACCUCUUCAACAAACAAUAGAUGAUUCGUUCAGAAUGAAAGUAGAAACAGCAUGAUCUUUCUACCAUACUAUUUAUUCUAUUAUCUUAAAACUCAUGGUAGGAUUACCGAUGCAAUUUUAUCUCAUCAGGAAACCAAAGCAACACCUUUAAGAGUUUAAGUCCUCAACAUUCAAUCCACCAAAUGAAAGAAACACAUAUACACACCUUCAUAACUGCAAUUCCGUAGUAAUGCACUCACAACAUGGCGUGUUGAGUCAUCAUUUUCCACAAGGAGAACUUUGAGGGACCGAAUAGGGAGGAACCUCUCCCAAAGUACCAUGGAACCUUGAGGUUGUUGUUGAGGUAUUUGCAAUCCAUCACAUGCCUCAAUUGCUCCCAAGGACCCAUUGUUUACAUUUACAGUUCUCUCAACAACCCUUGACUCAUCUUCCUCAGAUGAACCUAAACCUUGCCCCUCACUCACUACUCCGUUCCUUGCUUCUUGUUGCUCGUGACACAUACUGUUUCCCACCUAUCCUCAAAACCAUCAUCGUUCACUGAUACUGCUCCAAUCAACCAGAUUCAAAACAUCAAUUAUGGGAGGAAUGCAAACAAUUGAGUUGACCAAUAACAACAAAGAAAGUAAAAAUGUUCAAAAAGCUGAGAAAAGAAACACAGCUGACCAUACUCCAUUUAAUACAAAACGCUAAAAACCAACAAACUUUUAGAAUCUUUAUACAUCCAAAGCUAAAUUUAAAAAACUAAAUAGGCAGUCCUAGUCCUAAAAUAUUUAGUAGAUUGAAAUUGCAAACAAUCCCAGAAGAUGAAAUCAUCUUAAAUCAUCUAUACUUAAAAUUAAAACUUGCAUGCAGUAAGCUGCAGAAAAUAUAAAGUCUAAUAGCUUCUGAACAACCACUGAACUUUCAAUUCAAUCUCUAAACAAAUCAAAGACAUUUACAAGCAAACAUCAGAUCUAAAAAUAAUAAUUAAAAAAAGAAAGACUACCCUUCUUAAAUCACACUUCAAAUAACCAAAAUAUCUAACAAAAACAUUUUUAAAAAAGAUAUUAAAAAAAAUGAAUCCUUGUUUCAUUUACAGAGCAACCAAGUGAAGCCUCUAGCUUUCUCUCAUGUAUCAUCUACCUUUUCUCAGCUGCCAAACAAAGCAUUGAAUUAAACACGUCGAAAAAAAAAAAGGGUCCUAGUAGAUUUACUCAAGCAGAAAAACCCUACCAAAAAUAUCCAAAAAAAAUGAAAAGAAGAUGAAAGUUGACACCUUAAUAGCUUGUCCAUGGAACAGCAAGCAGCCAUUAGAAGCUCUCAUGCAAGAAAAACCAGUUGGCUUCUACUUUAAUCUGGUUUUUUAUCAUCAAAAACGGUUUUCAAUAUAAACCAGCUAGUGGAGUUUUCCCUUUUUUCUCAUUACAAAACUUUUUUUUCUUUUUUUUAAUAUUAAAUUUAUCAAAGAUAAAAGCUUGACUGGCAAAAGAAUAAAAAUAAAAUGGGAGAGAUAAAAAGAAAAAAAGAAAAGAGUUUUUAGACAGAGAAAUGGAAGAGCGAGAGAGAAGAUAUUAUUCUGGGGGGAGCUGCCGACGUGUAACAAAUGAAGGUGGGGAGAUGUUAAGGUGUUCACGUGGCAAGGUGGGCCUAUUCCACCAGUCGAUGUGCGAGCCUUUGAUGGAGGAUGACGUGGACAAGAUCAAAAGCUGGGAGCAUAGCGUCGAAGAGCCGAAUCUUAAAUCGAUGCUCUCAGAUCUGAAGACAGGACACGUGGCUCCCUCGACGGCCCCUUAAAAGGUCUUCGUUUUGCGUGUACAUGGGGACGGAUUGGAAGCCCUAGAUAGAAAACGAGGUCGUUUUUGGCUAGUGACGAGAAUACCCUUAGCCGAAAUUUGUUUGUCACGUGCUCAAAACCUUAUCCAUAUUUUUUUUAAUUUAUCCUUUUUAAUAUAAAAAAUAAAUUGUAAUUCUUAUCCUUUUAUUUUUUGUUUUAUCCCAUGAAUACUCCCAUUUUGGCCACAACUGAAUAUUUGGACAUUAGUGGCAAAUUUUAAGAGUUGGGGUAAUAAUAUAAAAAUUUAAUCAUGUAUUAAUGGGAUUCGAAUAUUUUUUAAAAUAAUAAAGUUCAAGGUACCUUAUAAAUAAUAAAAUUUGAGUUUAGAUAUUUCAAAAAUAAUGACUAUCUUACUCAUUGACAUUCUUAAUCAUAGUGUUGUCUCAUAAAUGUUUAAAGUUAAAAGUUUAAAAAAUUUUCAAAAUAAAUAUUUAUGGAAAAUUAUGUUAUUUUUUAUAUAAAAAAAUUGGUUAUGUUUGAAAACUUUAUAUAUAUGAAUUUAUAUUUGAUAUAUUAUUAUAAAAUAAAAUGUUGUUAUCUUAUUAAUAAAUAAAUUUAAGAACAAAAACUUUCAAACAUAAUUACUCAUGUUUUUAUAAAUAUUUAUUUUGAAAAUUUUUUAAACUUUUAACUUUAAACAUUUAUGAGACAACACUAUGAUUAAGAAUGUCAAUGAGUAAGAUAGUCAUUAUUUUUGAAAUAUCUAAACUCAAAUUUUAUUAUUUAUAAGGUACCCUGAACUUUAUUAUUUUAAAAAAUACUCGAAUCCCAUUAAUACAUGAUUAAAUUUUUAUAUUAUUACCCCAACUCUUAUUCUAUUAUCUUACAUACCACAUGUAAAUGUGUAAUUAAAAUAAGUUUAAAGUAAUUUUUAUAUAUUACUAAUGUAAAUUAAAUCAAUAAAUUAUAGUUUGUUCAUAGUAAAAAUUAAAACUUAAAAUUAUAUUUAGAAUAAUUAAUGAAUUUAAGUACAUAUUAUAUUAUUUAUAAAAAAUUAUAAAUAAAAUAUAAAAUUAAAAUUUAAUAUUAAAAAUUAUUAUUUAUAAUUGAGAUGAUAGAUAUCCUAAGACCACUACCCAAACCCCGUUAUAGAUAAUAGUUUUACUACCAAACUCAAUUAUAAUAUAUUUUAAUUUUAUUUAAUCGGGUCGAAUAGUAUAAUAUAUCCUAUUAUAACGUACUCAUUAAUAGUUCUACAUGCGAAUAAGUAAUAAUGUAUUUAAAUUAAAAAGAAUAUGGUAAGCUUUGCCCAGUUGGGCCCAAUCGAUUGAUGCCAAUGGUCCGAUCCAAUAUCAAGUUGCUCCGAACUGGCUACCCUUUAACCUUAGCCCAAUUUUCUCCAGCAAGAUUGGGCCCAUGUCGGAUUAUUCCAGACAGGUCCAGAUGGUCAGUGGGCUUACGUAUUCCUAAACGACGUCCACGCUUUUCUAUUUUCUGGGUGAUUUGCUUUUUCCAGGCAAGUUUCAGCUCUCUUUAGCUAAAAAAUGGCUGUGGCGAGAACAGUAGUGGUAAAAGCAGUGAACGCCGGUUUAUGGAGUCUGCAACGGAGUCGUUCCGGGAGUUUGCAACAGGCCCAAACUGUAAGGGCUUUAUCGACGAUCAUGUCUCCGCCUUCCAAAGCAGUCGUGUACGAGCACCACGGCCCACCCGACUCCGUUACCAGGUCCCCGAAACACCAAUUCGACUUCAUUUUUCUCUUUUUUUUUUUUUUUUAUUCCUUAUUUUGAUCUUUGCAGAGUGAUAGAGCUAUCCCCAGUAGAAGUGAAGGAGAAUCAAGUUUGCGUUAAAAUGUUAGCUGCUCCUAUCAAUCCCUCUGAUAUUAACCGUAUUGAAGGUUUGGCUUUCUUUUCCAUCUUGCCUACUUGGGUUUUACUUCAUUUGAUUAAAACCUGUUUUAUCUUUGAUUUAGUUGAAUUGGGUAGUUUAAAAUAGUAAUAGUUUUAAGUUUUUUUAGAUAAAGAAGUGAAUUUUUGGUGUGUAGGCGUAUACCCUGUGAGGCCACAGGUGCCAGCAGUUGGAGGCUAUGAGGGUGUUGGAGAAGUAUAUUCUGUUGGGUCUGCGGUUAAGGGUCUCUCGGCUGGUGAUUUGGUCAUUCCUUCCCCUCCCUCCUCAGGUUUGUUCUUUUCACCUUUUGCUAUGCCUUUGUUAACUUUACUUUGAAUGCAACUUGCUUAAAAUCAAUAAUUCUACAAGUUUUUCAGCUUAUGUAUCUUCAAUUUUUGGUGCUGAAUUUCAUAUCUCAAAUCACUUCUAUGUUGGAAUGUGAAAGCUUAAAACAGGGGGGCAUGGGUUAAGAAUGGCUGGUGUUUUUGCAAUUUAGUCUAACACAUCUAACUCUAGAGAUGUGAUUGAAUUUGUUGGAGUAAGGAGACUUAGAAAAGGGAAUUUUCUAUUUACUAAUAGUCGAAAGUUGCAAGAUGCUGCAUUUUUGCCUAUUAAUUGAUGGGAAGCUGGGAAAUUUGCGACUUUCGAUGUCCUAUCUUCAACUUAACAAAAUUGGUUGAAGUUUCUUUCGUUUUUCUCAUUUAGAUGUUUUAAAAUAAUGAAGAUAUAGUUUCUUGCAGUAUAAUAGAAAAAUUAGCUUUCAGACACAUCUUAUUCAUUCUGCUUGAGUGCUAAGGUCAACUGAAAAUUUGAUUGGCAGGAACAUGGCAAACUUAUGUUGUGAAGGACCAGGAUAUGUGGCAUAAAAUCAGUAAAGAUUCACCAAUUGAGUAUGCUGCAACAGUUACUGUUAAUCCUUUGACUGCUUUAAGAAUGCUCGAAGACUUCGUAACUUUAAACUCAGGUACUACAGCUGUUGACGUGGUAUUUGACCAUUUUCAAGCCUCUAUCUCCUGCUCUUCUUGAUUAUACUUGUAUGAGCAGGAGAUUCCAUUGUCCAAAAUGGGGCUACAAGCAUCGUUGGACAAUGUGUAAUCCAGCUUGCAAGAUUUCGUGGCAUCCAUAGCAUUAACAUUAUCCGGGACAGGUGCGGUAUGAGACUUUAGCUUCUUGUUGACAUGAGCUUGUCAUCACAUUUAUUUAUUUAUUUAUUUUUAACUUAGAUGGUGUCAUCAGUUUGUGGUAUUUAGUUAAGGAGGAAGUUGACUGUCAUUGACUGCACAGAUUUUGUGUUAAAUGGUUUCAUUGAUUGUAUUUUUUUAUCCAUUAGUGUUCUGUAAUUUGAUGCGUGCAAUUUUUUCCAGCGCAUCUUUAUUUACCAUCCUCUGCUUGCUUUAGGGCUGGGUCGGAAGAAGUAAAAGAAAGAUUAAAAGCUUUCGGUGCUGAUGAAGUGUUUACUGAGAGCCAACUAGAAGUGAAGAAUGUCAAGGGCCUUCUGGUAUCAUCAUUUAUGGACACACUACUGUUGAUUGUAGGGAGAUAUUUGUUCUUCCACAUAUGUAUUCAUUUUUCUUUUGUUAUUUUUAUUAGUUGUAUUUUUUGGUUGUUCGCUCAUCUUUUCUGUUUUACUUGUAAUUGACAUGCUAGUCAAAUAUACCUGAACCUACUCUGGGAUUCAACUGUGUUGGGGGAAACGCUGCUUCUUUGGUUCUCAAGUUCUUAAGGUCUGGCAACAUGAGGACCUUGUGUAUUUCCUUUUAGUAAAAAUCAAACUACCCUUGGAAUGCUAACUAAUUUGUCAUUUCAGGCAGGGAGGAACCAUGGUAACAUAUGGUGGAAUGUCCAAGAAGCCUAUCACUGUAUCAACAUCAUCGUUCAUAUUCAAGGUAAACCAGGGCUUACCUGUCUUCUUUCGUAUUGCAGCUUAGUGAUGUGCUGCUGUUCGUCCAAGUAUUACAUAAUUUCACGUAGAAUAAAAGUAGCUUCUGAAUUUAGAAAGUAUUUGUGUUCUCCUAUAUCUUUGCAGGACCUUUCCUUGAGAGGAUUCUGGCUACAGAAAUGGUUAAGUGCAGAUAAAGCGAAAGAAUGCAGAGAUAUGGUAGAUUACCUUCUGUGCCUGGCACAGGAGGGGAAGUUGAAAUACAAGUAUGUUUUCGUAGAUGAUCUCACUUUCCAUCAGUUAUUCAAUUCUCAUGUACGUAAACCAUUCUGCUCUUCCUUGCAGGAUGGAGUUGGUUCCGUUUGACAAUUUUCACACUGCAUUGGACAAGGCGCUCGGGAAACUCGGGAGUCAGCCAAAACAAGUGAUCAAAUUCUAAUCUCGCAUCAUCCUUCAUCGAUUUUGAAUGUUGUAGUGUAGUUAUGGAGGCCAUCCCAUACUCUUGGAUUUUCAUGUCCCAUGAUUUAGAUAUUUCUUUAAAUGGCUUUCCAUUUACAAUCAGCAAGAGGUCUGAACGACUGAAAGUUGAGAUGCAACAAAAGCUGGGAAAAAUCUGUAAAUGCCUUAAGCAGCCGUACAUUUUUAAUGACAAUAAUAGAAAAAAUUAAGAUUAUGACUGUGUUUGGACAUCACAAGAUCUGAUUCUUACUUCCCACAUCCCUGCUGCACACAAUACACGUCUUUGAAUUGGAGAAGUAAAAUGUAGAAAAAAAAUCAAAACCAAUUCUCUUAAACAGCAUAUAUCAGGUUUGAGUCCGAUUAAGAUAUUGAAUCUAAAGGAGGGAAGAACUUGAAUGGGUGAAUGUAUCUAAUCCUUCUGGUUCAGCUGCUAAUUUAUGGUUCGUAUGACUCAUUUCUCAGAAUGAAGUUCACAGCGUCUUCCACAGUGUCAACAACCUGCAAUUGGAAACAGCAAAGAGUUUUACAAUGGCGCUUAAUUUCUAGGAUUGAAACCAAAGAUAUAAUUUGGCCACACAAGUACCAGAAAGACCCUUGUGAAUUACUUCAAACAACUUAAGGUUCUUAUAGAGUUGGUGUGGUAAUGAUGCAUUAUUGAGUUUGAGUUUAAGUUUCAAGUGCCUACCAGAUUGGCUGGAAAUUCCACAUGGUUAGAUUGACGAUCUCCCUUAAAAACCCCGGUCCUCGUCAAGAUGGGAAACCAAGGGUGCCCGGCCUGGAAUGUGAACCAUGAAAGCACAUUGUAUUAUCUCUCACCAUUAACAGUGUUAAACGAUAGAGAUUUACAAAAAUAUGCAGUUACAACCGGUCCAAGAGAGACAAACCUGCAUUGAACCUUUGAUGUCAACAAAAGGAUUAUCUCCUAUCAUAUAUAGUGUUCUGAAAUCGUGACUUCCAGAGUGUGCAUGGUCAUGAUAAAGGGAUGAGGCUAGCAGCUUUAGCACAACUUCAGCAUUCUUAAAUGCAACUGGAUUUGGCUUUCCUAAGGAUGUAUACCUCAGGGCUUCGGAAUGAAUGCUGCAAGUUUAAUGUAGUGGCAUUAACGAAAGCCAUCUCAGGGAACAUAAGCUGCCACCAAAUAGUAAGGCGUAAUGACAGAGUGAUAUAGUGCUUCUUGAAUUAUAGGCAUUCCUAGAGGGGUCUAAAAUAUAGGCUAUGGCGAAAUAAUCAUUUUCAGAAAAAUUUAAGAGGAAAGCAUAGUAAUCAUCUAAUCCUAACCUCAGAGUAGAAUCCUCUUUCCAUAUACCUUCUUUCCUCACCUAUUGAAGAUCGAUUCCAAUGCAAUUCUGAAAGCUCCCAUGCCAAAACGCUCAGAAGGAAAAGCACCCUACCUUUACUGGUAUAUUAUCAGUACAUUACUACUAGUAGAGAAAAGGAUCCAAAAAAAAUGAAGAAAAGCAACUGAUUUUAGAAAAUAAAUCAUAACUAACCUGGUAUUUAAGGUCAUCAUGUGCAAAAUACAGAGGUGGUUGAGGUCCUUCUUCACUUCCAGGAAGACCUCCAGUUCUUAAAAUAUCACAAAGAACCUAACAUUAAAGAGAUUCUAAUGCUAUAAUUAGUCAAUCUAGAGGAGGUCCUCUCAAUGACUGAACAUGACAGAAUUUGAUAUGAUUAAAUAAUUAAAUUGUUGAUGACAACCUGAAUGUCCCUGCUCCAGUCAACUGAAUCACUAACAAUAAACGCUGCCUGAACUCUCUGUGACUUAAUGCUGCAUUUUCUAGUGCUGUUGACAGCAGCCUCCAUGGUGUUCCAUUUCUUGUAUGGUGCCAGCGGAUCAAUGCUUUCGAAGCAUAGUGCAUACUCAUCUAUCGGAAUCACAUUCCUGCAUAUAAAUUCAAAUGACACGAGCCAUUAGGAAUUUCUACCCAAAUCAGCUGUGAAAAACAUCUGGACUAACAAAUCAGGAAGCACACUCAAAAGCUUACUUAAAUCCAUAUUCGGACAUCACUGCAGCAGGUUCACCUUUUCCCACAGCAACAAUUAGUUCAUUCUCAAACCUGUAUGACAACAAGAAGAAGAUAUAAUUAGUGAAAAUUAUGAGACAAAUAGAUUCCAUAAUUGAAAAGCAUAAUGCUUGACUCUUGAUUGGACCUUUCCUUUCUUUAUCAAAAAAUAAAUAAACACUGAUUGAUAGAUAAUGGGUUUUCUCCAAGUUAACAAUUGUCUCCACGAAAAGUACACUAAGACACAAGUCCUAGAAGCCUUUACAACAAGUACAUGCAGUGCCGUACUUGCUAAAACACUUUGGAGCACGUUCACAGGCCUUGGUAAAUUAAAUCAUACCUGUUCACCAGCUGUUUAAAAGGUGAAUGACCCUGCACAACCUAGAAUGAGUAAACAGGCAAAACGGAUUUCAUUAGCCAUUACUACCAUCAUCCACAAAGCUUUCUCUAAAGUAAAAUGUAAUGGAUUUGAAUAAAAUCGAAAAAAGAUAACCAUUUUCAUAGGAAAAUACCUGUGAAGGAGAAAUCUCUACACCAAGGAGCUCUGACAAUUCCACGGCUCUCUUUGAUUCACGAACACCACCUCCUGCCAAAGAUGUCAAAGAUUGGAAGUUGGAACCAACAAUGCUUAAUUGACUACACUACAUCAAUCAUUAAACCAAAAAUCAGAAAUUAAAAACUAUGUCCAUCUUGUGCCUAAAGGCUACCUAGUUAACAGCCAUAACACACACAAAACAAUCUUUCACUUAAGUGCUUGGUCAGUAGCAAUGUAAACUUAAAAUACAACAGCCAGGAAGGAACCAAGAAAAAGUAAACAAAUUAUGAUCGAUGAAAGAGCUUUAAUGGCAUGGUAACUAACAUAGAGGAUUCACUCACUCACCAUUUGUCAAGAAAAUAAAAGGAAUCUUCAGGACACCUGCCCAACAAAAUGAACUAAUCAGAGUCUAAUGUUCUAGCACAGACAAGAAUUAACGAUCAAACACAAGAAAUUAAUAAUAAAGGUUUCAAAAUUAAUUUAUAACAUACGUAUAUAAGUACGUAUGCAUACCGGAGUCAUCGUAUAAUCUCCGGAGAGCUCGCGGAGCGCCGCCGAUGGGAGUGUUGCCGCGUAAGACGACGCCGUCUAUAUCAAACGCAAUGCCGAAAGAAGGCCUGCUUGUAUCCGUAAAAAGAAACAAUCAACGGCUCGAAAUAGAAACUAGUUAUCGGGAAAAAUUCCAAAAGACAAACGAGAAAAUGGAAACGCACGGCGUCGAUUGCUGCAAAGAAAGUUGAGAGAUAGUGGAGAACAGCCGCGACAAUUGCUUUCUCGAUCGAGUCUGCGAUGAUUUUCUCAACAUUUGAAGAGCAAUCAUCUUCUUCUUCUCUCUCUCUCUCUCUCUCUCUCUCUCUCUCUUUGAAAUUUUGGCCGCUCACUUCUGCUGAAGAAUAGCGAGCGAAACAGUAAAAGAAGAACAACGAAAGAAGAAUUGCGAGCUUCUGCUUUCCUUUCCAAUCAGAUCGUGCCACGUGGGUUAAUGUCUUUUUUAUAUAUUUUUCUUAGCUUUUUUUUUGGGAGAACAAUAUUUUCAUUGAUUUUACGUGUUAUAAAAAUUAAUUAAAACAAUAAAUUUACAUUAAAAAUAUGCAAUAAUUAUUUUUAUUUUGUAUAAAAUCAAGUAUUCCAUAUCACUUUAUAUAUUUAUAAUUUCUUAUCGCUUCAAAUAAUUUAUUAUUUUCGUAAAAAAAUUCUAUAAAACAAAAUUUUCACUAAAAAUCGAAUCAUAAAUACAUUUCAUACACAAAACGAUAUCUAUUGGAUGCUUUUUCAUUUUUAUAAAUUCAUCUCACAUCGAACAUUUCAUUAUUAUCAUGACAAACGUAUCGAAAUAGAAAAAUUUUCUCUAAAAAUGUAAAAUACAUAUUUUUCUUUCACACCAAAGCUAUUAAAAUACAAAGUUUACAUGAAAAACAUAAAGAUAAAUGCUUUUUUUUUUUGGUACAAAAUUAUUUGUCACUGUGCUCCCAUGAAUUGUUUGCAUGAAAAUUGAAAACAAAGUCUAUAUAUUGCUACCCUUUGUUUUGUUAUUGUUUCUCUUGUAAAAUAAACUGGAUGUAAAAAAUAUACAGACAUAUCCCAUACACAACAAGAGGCCAAGAGACCCUAGCCAUCUUUUAUACAGACAUAUCACCCUUAAGAUGAUUGGAUUCCUAAAUAUAAUAUGAAUCCAUUAACUCCCAAAUAAACCCAAGAAACAAACACCCAUUCUACCAUCUCAAAUCUCAAUACCUCCAGGGAGAACCUAUCUCCCUGAUUUUUUUUCUGCUAGAACACAAGUCAUCUUGAAUUUAUACAUAAGCAAGCUUUUUCACCAAAACCAACCUACUUUACUGAAGCAAAACAGCAUAAAACAAAAUCGGGAGAUGCUUGUUAGCGACUUCAUUCGAGCAUCUUAUCUUGAUUGAAGUUCAAAGACUCCCUCCAUAUGAGCUCUUUUAUGUCUUCUUCGUUCAAGGUCGUCUGCUCGAAAUCAAAGAUGAAAGGAGAUGGACAAGUGGGCUCCUCGUUGAUCUCAUGAAGACUUGAUAAAAAUGGGUGAUUCAGUGCUUGGUCAACUGUAUAUGCAACAUAUCAAAAGACAGAUGUUUCUUGUCAGAAAAAUAAAUGAGGAACAAGAAACAAGUACAUUGUUGAAGUGGCAUACUAAGGCAUACCAGUGAUGCGCUUGCUUGGAUCAAAAACCAGCAUUUUCUCUGCAAGAUCAAUUGCCACAGGAGACACAUCUGGAAACUUUUCUGCAAAAGGCCGCUUUGGGAAUCGAGGAAGCUGCCUAACAUACUUUCGAGCAUUGUCACUCCUAAGGAAUCCAAGAUCUGAAUCUUCCGGUGAUCCUAGUAGCUGUUUUAUGAAAAAAUUUAAAAAAAGAAAAAGAAAAAUAUUAAUAUAUAUAUAUAUAUAUACACAGGUAUUACUAUCAUGUAUUCAGUGUCCAAAAAAAAUUUGCAACCUGCUUCAUGCUUUUCUUCACCGAGUGCCUAAAAAUGGCUGUUAUUUUGUAAACUACAACUACGCUAUAUUAAGUGCUCUUCCAGGAAACCAAAGUAUUGGGUUUGGGAGUGAACAAGUCAAGAGCGAUGGAUACCUCAGUAAUAAGCCCCAACUGCUGAACAUAGUCUUUACCAGGAAAAAGUGGCUCCCUUCUAAUUAUCUCCAUCAAAAUACAACCAACUGACCAUAUAUCAAUAGCUGCAGUAUACUCUGAACAGUUGAGGAGCAACUCAGGGGCCCGAUACCACCUGGUUACAACGUACUCUGUCAUGAAGUCUGUCUCUGAGGUGGUUCUUGCAAGACCAAAGUCACAAAUUUUAAGAUCACAGUUUGCAUUGAGAAGCAGGUUGCUAGGUUUUAGGUCUCGGUGCAAAACAUUUGCUGAGUGUAUGUACUUCAGGCCCCGCAACAGUUGAUAUAGGAAAUACUGCAAAAACCACAAUAUUGCUUCAACAGUUGUGAAAUUAUAGCCUGAUUUAAACUAGCGCACAACUAUACAAUUGUAAUUAAGACUCAAAUAGUCAGACAUAAGCUCAUAUUUUAAAACUUGCAUUGAUGCUGCAGCAUGACAUAACACAAUUAUAAACAAUUGAACAUGACAUAUCACAUGACACUGGUAACAUCACGAACUACAACAUUGUUAUACAAUAAUAAUGAUAUAAGCAUAUAACCCACCUGAUAGUGAUCAUCAGUGAGAGGCUGGCUAGACCGUAUUAUUUGAUUGAGAUCAGUGUCCAUUAGCUCAUAUGCAAUGUACACAUCAUUGAACUUUUCCCUCUCCGGUGGCAGUAUGAUGUCCUUGAUUUUGACAAUCUGCAAAAUAUUAAUGCAACACUUCAUCUCUCUUCCAUGGUAUACCACGAUGAUAACAAAUAAAAGCGAACAAUGUAUUAAUAAAAACAAACAAAAUUUAGAAUUUAAUGAGUACAUUAUCAUGAUCCAUGUGACAAAGGAGCUUGAUCUCACGGAGUGUUCUUUUAGCAUCAAUCCUGUUCUCAAAUGCAUUUGCAAUUCUUUUAAUCGCAACCUCUUCAUUUGUCUCGGAAUUCCUGGCACAACUGCAGUAAGGAAAGCAACAAUUCUCUCAAUCGCAAAAUUCAAAAACAUUGACCCCAAAAUAUUGAAUUAAAACUUUCAUCUCUCAGUCUCUCACAUGAAAGCAAAUACGGCUGUCUGCAUAUAAUAUUCAAAUGACUUGAUCUAAGUAAAUAAACCAUAAACAAUGAAAAUCUGUUUUCUGUUUUUCCCUAAAGUGUGCAUUUUUUUAAUGGGUAGGAGACACCUAUACUAGUAAUUCAAUUGCCUGAGUAAAUAUUAUAACUUGUUGAAACAUCAAACUCGAACAAACCCAAAGCUCAUUGCUAAUUAUAUUCGUUAAUUUCUCUAAAAGGGUCACUAAAAAUUCUCUUUUUAUACCACUUUAAGUAGCUCUGUCUAAUCACUAAAAUCCCAAAAAUAAAACCACAAAAUUCAACCAAUUUAAUGAAUCUACAGCUUUAUUUUUAAGGGAAAUAAAACGUAUUUUUUGCUUCCAAAAUAGAAGAAAAAAGCAGAAGAUUACCAAACGAUGCCAUAAGCGCCACGACCAAUAGGCUGAAUAGGAGGGACGUACUUAGAAGAAACCUCAAAGAUGAUACCUAAUACGUCGUAACGGACAUAUCUGCCACCAUAUGUUGGGAUUCCUCUGCUAUCGACCGCCAUUGCUUCGUUCUCCAUCUUCUUCUUUUUUUCACUUCCCUCAAAAACAAGCUCAAAGAAAAGCAAAUGAAGAAAGGAACAAAAGGGCGUGCUUUUAUGGGAGAAGAAAAGUAAGAGAAAGCGAAGAGAAGGGCCAUUUGUGGUUUUUGCUUUUUGAUUGGGGUUGCUUUGGGUGGUUUUUGAAACUUUGAAUUUGAACGUGGAAAAAGGAUAAAAAAGUGAAAUUUGUCUAAUGAAACAGGGAGGAAUGGACUGUUGACCUUGAAAGGCCUUUGGAAUUGGAGUGGACGAAGACUUUACCUUUCAUCGCCUUCUACGUCAGAGUUGAGAAGUUUCUUUGAUAUUUAGGUGAUGUCUUUUUAUUUGUAUAUAGAUAAUUUUGAUGAUUGAUUGGACUUGGUUCUGUUUGGUUGCAAGGAAAAUAGCCUGGAAAAAAUGUAGCUCUCAUAGAAAAGUGGUGAAAAUAAAAAUCCAUUUAUUUAUUUUAAAUAUACUUUUUGGCUCAUAUUUCUUCAUAUCUUGGAUUUUUUUUUUUUAAACAUCAUUAAGAUUGCAACUCUUGUAUUUUCCCUCUUUAAAUUUAGUACAAAUGGUAAUAGAGAGGAUAUUUCAAUAUAUUUUGAAAAUUUUGUAAGUGUGAACGCCUACAUACACACAGUUAAUUGAUGAUUUAAUAAUAAUUUCGUGAUAAAAUAAUAUUAUAAUAAAUCAAUCUAUACUUAACUCACACCAAGCCUUUUUGCAAAGAGAUAGGCAAGUUAAGUUGGUCGAUGGCAAUAGGAGUAAGAUCAAAUUAAGUGAAGGAGAAUGUUACUAUUAGCAUUUUUAGAGAAGGAGAAGCAAGAUGGUCAACCACAACGAUGAUUUUGUUGGAUUAAGUGAAAAUGAAUGUCAUUAUAAGUACUUCAAAGGAAGUAUACAACAGGCUUCAAUCUUACAUCAGGCACGUAAAGGGAUAUUGAAACAUUUAUAAGCAUGCAUAUCUUAUAAAGCUAAUGAAAAAAAGAUAACAAACUCGUGACAUAAAAUUAAUUUUAUGUUAUAUUAUAUUUUUUAUUUUAUUUUUUUAAAUGUACUAAAUUUUAGUAUAAUAUUUUUUAAUUUCAUUAUAAUAAAUACUAUUAAAUUGUACCAUACUCAAUAAAAAUAAUUUUAAAUUUUAAUAACUUUUGUCAUUCAAAACUAAGUUUUUCAUUUGUACUGUAAAAAAAAAGGAAAUUGUAAAAAAACUCCCUCCCUUGUACAUUUCAUUUCUCCUUUAAAGGCCUGUUUCGGGCAAAUUUUGGGGGUCCAGUGCGGUGGGACCACCCUCCCACCUCACCGGCUCGCCCUCCCAAACACGCCAGUGGACCUUUCCAUCCAAAUUUUGGAUUCAAAAAAAUAUAAUGAGCCCACACUAUCAUUAGGUGGGCCACAAAAAGUUUUCUUAUACCAGAUGUUACAACUAUUUGGGCUUCAAAUAAAUGAGCAAAAAUUGGGUUUAGGUUGGGCUUCAGAGAAAAAAAAUUUAGAGUUUAGACUUUCUCUAACGUUGAUUUGAAAAUUUUGUACAAAACAUAGAUUUUAAGUAUGUUUGAGUUUAGGUUAAUCGGGUUUUGUAUAUUAAGUAUGAAGAUAUGAAUAAAUCAUAUUUUAAUUGUGUCAAACUAGCUUAACUUGUCUGCGACACAAUUAGUUAAUCGUGUUAUCGUAUAUCUAUAUAGCACAUAAUCUGUUUAUUAUUUAGUUAUUUAAUUAUGUUCAUGCGUCGUGAAGAUACGUUUAGUAUACGGUUAUGACCCAUUUAUUGAUUUAUAUAAAUACUAAUAGUUUUAUAAUGAUUAAAAUUUAUUGAUAUUAAACUUUAUUAUAUUUAAUAAAUAUUAUGAUAUAUAGUUUUUGUUUGUAAAUUUGAAUAAUAAAAUUAUAUUUUACUUGUACAUAUUUUAAUUUAAUCAUUUUAAUCAUUUUAAUCAUAAUAAUUAUGUUAAUCAUGUAAUCGUGUUAUAAAUUGUAUAAAUUUUAAUCAUAUCAUGUCACAUAAAACUUAACUCUAAAAGUUUGAUAAACAUAUUUAUCUAUACAAUUAAAACAAGGAAACACGAAAAUUGUAAAGUCUAACUUAAUGUGCCAUGGAACCUGAUAUAUUAGAUAUGAUUGUAUAAUUCAUGUGUUUAGGAGGUUACGAAAUUGAAGAGAUGUUGAAGAGAAGAAAAGGUCAUCGCAUUUCAUAUUUCAAACUUGUCAACGUGAUUAUAACAGUUGACUGAAACUUUAAAUUUAAUCAGUGAGGUUACGGCACUGAUUAAUAUUAAUAUAAUAUUAAUAGAUUAUACCUCGUUCAUUUUUAUACAAUUCUCGAUUUCUUUUCUCGUAACAAAAUUAUGGAACAAUUUUCUUAAGAAAACCUAAGCAGUUGAAAUCAUGUGCUUAUGACUUUUCGAAUUUGGUUGACUUUGACAUGGGUUUCUUCUAAUUUUGCUGUCAAUGACUCAUAUACUGAAAUUAAAAAAAAAAAAAAGUCUUUAAUCAAUUAACCCAAGGAAUGAAUAAAGUCUUUUAACAAAUAAAUUAAGUUAUCACUUUUUGCUUAGUGAGAAAGCAACAUUAACUUCUAGAAAAAUGAGUUUCGGUUAUUAACACAUACAUCCCACCAUGAUUUUAAAUAAAUAAUAAAAAUUUUUUUUUUAAGGUAUCUAGAAGCAUGACAAUAUCUCAAAUGCACAUGUGGGAAAAUAAUCUUAUAAGUUUCUAGAAGGAACCUGUUUCCACCCCUUGGACACCCUCAUAUAAAACUUGGGAAUUUUGUCUUUACUUAGAUAAUUAAUUACGUAAUUAAAUUAGCUGUAUAGAUUGUUAUUCUUUGGAGGGAAUGAGCUAUAUGGGGGAGGGGAUGAGCUGUAUGGGACAUGAGAUAAUUAGGUCAACCUCAGUCCUUGACCAAAACAGAAGCAAAUUUUAUCUAAAUUUCAAGAAUUUCCUUUUUGAUUUUUCCCCAAAAAAUAUCUUUUUAUUACUUUUGGAGACUUUUCUUGGUUAUGAAAUAGGCUAAGUUAGUUUGGCCAAGGGUGCAACCAGAUGACUUAGCCAGUUCUUGACUCUAUGGUCAUGGCUAACAAUUUGUAUUCAAAUUCAUUGCACCGUUUUGCUUGACUGAGUAACAUCACCUUGAAGAUCAGUCCUAAUCUUCAAAGAAUUAUGAAAGUUACAUACUCUGAAAAAGCAGCUGUGGAAAAGGUACAAAUUGAAUAUGCAAUUCCAUGUAAACUUCCAUUGCCAUGUUUGAUCUUCAAGGAUGAAGGAUCUUGUCAUCUGGGGUGGGCAGGAUGACUUGUUCCUAACCCAUUGAACAACCAGGUUCACUGCAAUCAAGUACUAAGAAACAAUCAAAGUUUUUCUUAUUCUUAAAAGAUUUUCCAAGAGUGAAAGAAACUAGGGACAGCUUCAUCCAUGUGUUCAAGUUCUGAGAAUGCAAGAUUUAGGUAUCAAAGCAUAAGCAACGAAAAAGGUUUAAUCAUCUUUGUUUUUGCUUUAUGCAAAUGCAUGGAAUAUAUGUAAAGAUCAGAAGGGGGAAAGAAACAGUUUAAAUCUCACUAUAAUCUCAUCUUAUUUGAGAUUACAAAGUACAAAAGAUUUUGUGUCUGGAUGAAAUGAAUCAGGUGAAGAUUUUGUGUUUAAUUAAUCUCAUUUAAGAAGCAACAAUAACAGUUGUAGAAAGAUGACCAAAUCAUGAAUGUCAGCAAAUGAGCUAAUGCAUACCAAAGCUCAGAGGGUGUGUGGCGUUUGAUUGGAAAAAUAAGACCAAAGACAGCUUGGUUUCACACUUUAUUUUCUUAUAAUAAUGUUAGAUGUUGGUCAAAAUUUUCCUAAAUUCAAAACCUUUUAUCCUUUAAACCUUGUUUGUUUGUUCUUUUGGGUGAAAUAACUGUGCCAGCCAUUGGAUCAUAGCUAGCUCUACCACCACAAGUUGCAGAUAGAUCCAAUGAGACUGAAAUCAGAAGCAGCACUUCCUCCCUCAAACAGAAAAAUGGGUAAUCUGGGUUUAGUUCCAAUCAAAGUUUUUUGCAGACAAAACAACCAUAUCUGCAUGAGAGUUGAUAGCUUGGCAAGAUCAAAUGAAAAGGUGAUCCUUGGUCUUGCCUCUAAAUUAAGCUUAGAAAAAUUAGAAAAAGUAAGGUAAGCCCCGUUGAUUGCGUAAAUUAAUCAAAAACAUUUUAAAUAAGAAUGAUCCAUCAUCGUUAUCUUGUUAGUAUAUUUUUAUAUGAUUCGUAUGUUAUCAAAUCAAUAGUCCGAAAUACUUCAACCAUGACAGCAAACAUAGUAACAAAUUUACCCAAGUAGGUAGAUUUGCACAUUGAAAAGUUUGAUCUCAAUACAUUUUCGCUGCCAACUUUUUGAAAAGGAAAAUUUGGGACUAUACCUGAGAGGUAGUCACUUUAGGAGAAAUCAAUGAUAAGGUAAAAGCUGUUUUGGACUGAUAUGGGGAAGGCAUUAUCAGAUACAACGCUUAGCUGUUAAUAUGCAUUCAAAGUGAACAUGUAAACCACCAAAGAAAGAGUCAAACUCACUCUUUCAAGACAUAUUCCACCCCCCUCAAAGUGUUAGUCCAACAUUCAUACUUGACAAUCUUGUUAAACCUGAAUUAUAUGAUUUCUGUUCCUUUUCACGUGUGCUUAGCAGUCAUGCUGCUUUCCAGAGAAGAAUACGGCGACUUUGAAGUUUAACCUUGUCGGUUUUUCAGUUCGAACUUACCUCAACCACUCGUGGAGAGCCAGGUGGUGGGGGUUGGAAAUUCAAGCUAUCCAGUCAAAAUUUGAGACAGAGAGAGCAAAAGCAGAGCAAACAUAACGACAUGUCUCAUUCAAAAGAUGGUCCAACAGAUUAUAAAAAAGAAAAUGGCAAAAUCGUUUCUUUUCUCUGAUCAUCUUUGGGUACAAAGUUUGAGAUUCAAUGACAAAUAUAUUCCUUGCCCUUGUGAGCAGAAGCUUAAACUUCUUUUGAGCAAUGGAAAUUGACGGGGCUGGUGGUAGUUACACCAGACAGCAGAAUCAGUGAAUCACCAAUGGUUUAUUAUUGAUGCCCAAGAUGUGGAAAAAGGAAAUUAAAGGAGAGGAAGUUCGUAUAAGAAUAUAUACAUAAAUUUUAUUGGACAAAAUCGGUUAUCUAGUAUGCUACAUAUAUCAAAAAUGAUACAGGGUCUGUAUAUCAAAUCUACAAUCUUUUGCAUAAGAAAGAACAAAAAGAAAAAGGGAAAAGAAGGCAAAAUUAUAAGGCCACCAGUAAUUACAUUAGACCCUGUACAAAAGAUAUGGGAGUUAUUAUCAGCAAUUCAAUUUAAUGAUCAAUCUGAAUUGUAGCUAGUUGGGGUUGGAGCAGCCGGAGUGGAGUUUGAGCUGACGUCUGGACCACUUUCUUCCCUCUUCCUGGGCAUUGCCUUGGCCAUCGAUGCGAUUGAAGAAACUGAUUUGAGGAAACUCUUGAAGAUUCUGAUCUUAACUUGGCCUCUCCUUGGAGGGAGGGUUUGCUUUUGCUUCUUGGUGUUGCUGGAAGCAUUGAAUUCCAUUUCGUUCAAGUGGGUAUGAAGGUAUAGAUUCGGGUUGCAAACAGAGAGAAAACAGAGGAACUCAACAAGAGCAAAACAGAGAGAAAACAGAGGAAUAUAAAGGAGCUGUUGAAUCCCUCUGCUUCUUGCAAGGCCAAAAAAAAAAAAGAAGGGUUUUCUUCCUUUUUGUUUCUGAGCAGGAAAAUAGAAAUGAGAGAAAGUUUGAGAAUUGGAGAGUGUUGAGAGGUGAGAGAAGAUUGAGUGAAGCAGGAUUUUUGGAGUGCAGCUCAGGGAUUUUUGAAGAGAGCAAAGACCUGUUUGUGGGGAUCAGACUCUGUUAUUUCUUGGUGACCAAGUUUUCGAGGUUUGCUGAGUUGUACAUUGAAUAGAUUGUCUUGGGGGGGUUGGGACCGGGGGGUGGGGGGUGGAGUGAAUCAGGUGCUCAUAAGACCACUACAUAAGGAGAGCAUACCAUUCCAAUUCAAGCAUGAGAUUAUGAGAAAAAUAAUUAAAUCCCAAGUCAACAAUUAUUAAAUACUUGGAGCCAUACAUCUAGGAGUAUCACAAAACUUAUCAAUAGGCACUUUGCCAUUUUAAUCCUGUUUUUCUCCCACCAGUUAUUCUCCCUGGACAAUGUUUGACCAAUAUUACCUAAUCACCUAGAACAGAAGACUAGAGAAAACAAGUUUUUGUAACUCAUUGGCACUUUGUGCCAGUUUUUCAUCAUAGGAAGCUUCUUUUUGGAGUUAUUUUUUACCCUUUUUCACUAUCUUCUAUCUAAGUUAUUUGAUAAGUUUCACUUGAACCAAAUUUCAAAUCAAAUUUUCUAUGACUAAAAGAGAUUUGGAAAAAUGGGUCAUUAACAGGUUUCGCAAUUAGAUUAUGGAAGGGUCUAUACAAAGCAAUUUUGUACCCCAAAAAAUUAAGAUUCAUACAAGCAGUCAUCAAAAUAUGAACAGAAAUAUGGACUCUUCAACGGGAUGCAGUUCCAUUCACUCUGCAGAAACUAAACACAUAUAAUAAAUGAUGUUACUGUGUGAAUUGCUGUAUGAAAUUCCCAAGAACCAAAAGAAAUAUGAAAGGAAUUCUUGAGUCUGCAUAGAUAUUCCAAGAGUCAAGUAUGUGGAAGUGGAUUGCAGUUGCAGUAGACCUCUGCUUUUUGACCAAGCUUGCUAUAAGGAACCAUGGUUCUGACUUCUUAAUGUUGCAGGCCAAAGAAGAGGAAAAUGGACAAGGAGAUGCAAGAUUGCAGGAAAAAAGAAAUCACUCAGAACAAAAAUUCCAAUUGAAUUUACAGUAAAUGAUGGGUAAUCCUGCAAAUCAAAGUCCCAAAGCAAGCUCCUUUGAACAACUGGAUUAUGCCAUUAUGGUUUUCUCUCAAACACACAAAAAAAAAAAAAAAAAAAAGUUCUGAGAUCACCCCACUGGUUCUGGUCCUGUCAUGACAAAUGGGGUAGUAGUAUGACCCACAUGCUCCCUUCAUGGGCUGCCUCCUUGCCCUAAUUUCUAACUAUUUGGUAAUAAAUAAACGUCUACAUAAACAAGAUCCUCAUGGGGUUGCAAAAAUUCUUCUGUUAGAGGGUUAAAAAUUUCUUUGGUUCAUGAUAAAGUGAAGAAAAAGAUCAAAACACUUAAAGAGUCUCUUAAAUCUUGUUUGAAUGCUCAAAAAUAAUUUAAAUUAAAUCACUAUGAGUAUAAUAUCUUACUAGUAAGUUCCAAUUUCACUUUAUUUAUUUAGAAUCCUGAAAUUCUAAAAACUAAUUUUUCAAAGUUUUUUUUAAUUUCCCGAAUAACUCUAGUUCGUUUUUAUUGUAUAAAUUAUUAAAUUAAUAAAAACUCAUUUUGAAGCUUAAAAAAAAACCAAAUUUAAUCUCCCAAUCCUGAGCAACACUGCAAAUAGUCAACUACCUUCAUACUCCACAACGUGUGGGGACAAUAAAAUUGACAAAUCUAUUGAAGAAUUAGGCAAAGAUCUAAAGUUGACACAAAGCUUUCAAGAUAGCAUUGAUUAGUUCCAAUAAAUUUUUCAAUGAGGAUACUCUUUCCAUUCCAAGUGAAACAAUCCCAAUUUUUUUUUUCUCAUACAUGAAAUCAUCUCGAUUCAUGAUGAUUUUGAUGAAAUUCUUAUGGGUUUCUACUACUAAGAAAAUUCUACUCUGUAAACUAUUAUGUCCCUCCACCAUCUUAGUCUAACUAACUAAUUUUCGUUUCAAGUACAUAUUUUUUUUUAACGUAAGUUUUACUUAUAUCUCUCCUUAUUUCAAUUUUUCUCAGGUGUCAUGAUGGUUCUGUUUUCUCAAUUUGCAAAUUCUGAAUGGCUUUUUCUUUGUUUUCAAUUCUAUAGAUAGCUUCUAUUAUGGUUAAGACUUAGGUUAUUAAUUUUACUUGAUAAAAUUAUAAAAUCACCUUUAAAUGUAUUGAAUUGAUAGUAUUUUGAUCAUCUUAUUAGAUAAAAUUAACACUUUUAUCUUAUUUUCUUACGUGAUAUCAUGUGAAAAAAAAUUAAAAUUAUAAAGGGUAUAAGUAAAAUUUAUCUUAUUUUCUUUUAGAUUUCAUUUAGUUAAAGUAUAUCCAGAGUCUUUGGAAAGGAUAGUGAGUAGUAAUUAAGAAUGUUACUUGCGGAAGAAAGCUGGCCACAGACCACAGUGGUAGGCCAUGGAGUUGCCUGAUGGUAGUAAUUUUCUCAUCGAUUGCUUUCACAAGCAAAAGCGGUGGUGCGGGCACAUAGAUGUUGAAAUUUUAACACAACACUAAUCCUAUCCCAAAUUUGAAAGUACAUAUCAAAAUAAAUAGUAAUGGCUAACAUUGUGACUUAUUUUAGAUCUCUUUUUUCGAAACGCGUUUUCGCUUUUCAAGUAUUUAACGUCAAAAAAAUCAUUUAAAGCAAAAUAAUUACGACAUAUAUAUAUAUAUACAUAAUAAUUAUUAUUAUUAUUAUGUUUUUAGGUAUUCAAUUCUUCUUGUACAAUCGUUAAUAAAAUAAAUUAUUCACAUUCACCAAAGGCCAAAUUCAGAAAAUAUAUAUACUUUCUGAUAUAUAUAUAUAUAUAUAUAUGAGAAAAAUGGGUAUGGUCUAAAAAUAAAUAAAUAAAUUUUGAGUUUGGGACAAUUGAUAGAUUUCAGUCCCUCAAAUCAAUAAACAGUAAAUCAAGAGAUAAUUAGGGUAAACAGAUUGUGAUGCAAACUGACUGAAAUUUAUACUUAAAUAAUUAUUAGUAGUUAUUAAUGACAAGGAAUGUGUUAGUUGAAUGUGAUGACUUGUACAAGUUUCAACUAGGAGAAAUCACGCGUAAAAUUGACUUGUGCCAAGUCCAAAGAAGAGUCCGUCGUUUUGUAAUCGAAAGUCAAAAAAAUAAAUUCAAUUAAUCUUUCGAAAAAAAAUGAAUUACUUCUUCUCCAUUUUAUUUAUUUAUUUUGGAUUGAAUCACUCAAAUUUAUACGAUGCCAAUUGCAACAAUGCGAAUAUUUUGGAUCUCGAGUCUGCGAUGUCAUGUCUCGAGAUAUCGAUUUUAGAAAGGAACAUCGACGAUAAGAUUGGGUUGGUGACGUUCAGAAUUUGUUACUUAUCGUGUGAAUCUCGCAAAACUUGUCUGUAUCUUUCCGAUUUCAUUCGAGUAUCAAGGUUAGACAACUUCUUACUCAGCUGUCAAAAAGAUUCCGCGUUCUUUUUUUCUUCAAACAUAUAUCUUUUAUCCACGCACAUAUACGUAAUGCUUAUCAUUUACUUAAUUAAUUAAUCCCAUCUUGAUUAAAAAAAUAUUUUUACUUUUUAUCAUGAUAUAAAAAGACUUACUUAACUAAUAACGGUCUACAUAAUCGUACUAUUGUAUUUACGAUAUUUACGAGUCAUGAUAGUUAUCUUGAUUCUCGAUUUUUACACUUACAAGUCGUCGUAAUCAUUUUUACGAGUACUUGUACCUGACAAAAGAAAUGUUGUUGCAGUCCACAAUACUAAAGGCAACGUACGUCAAGAUAUUCUAACAGACUGUCUUGCGAUUUAGUAAAAAUAAAUAAAUAAAUAACUACUCUUUUUAGCAGAGAAUAUUCGUCACCGUAAUUAGAUUUACCUUUUGAAAAUUUUCUUUGACAAGAAUAGCAAGAGAAAAAUUAUUGAAGAAAGAAGAGUGGGGGAUUCGAAGUUGCCAAGUCAAACGCAAGAGCCCUUUGUUUAGGAUUAAGAAAAAGGGAAGAAUAUUGGAGUGCACAUAAAAAGCAAAAAAGACCAUUACCCUGUUUUCAUGUUGUUAUAAAAUCGGAUUUGAUUGAUUGACCUAUCGAGGAAAAUGGAGAGCAUGGAUAAGCCCAAGCUCCUUUUCUUGAGAAUCAGUCAGCACGGAAAUCAUUUGCUGAUUAUCAACAUGAAAGAAAAAGCAAAACCAAGAAGAAAACAGAGGAAAGACUAAAAGGAAAAGUAAAAACAGAGACAAAGGUAUACAAUCACCUGCAUCUUCUUUUUUCUUUUUUGAAGAAUAGUUACAAUUUUUUUUUUUUUUUGUACAAUAGAAAGGCUAAAUUCACAUCUUAAGGCUAAAAACAUACAGGGUCUGCACUAGAAAUAGCCCUAAGCAAAGAAAAAGGAGAAAAGAAAAAAACAAAAUAAAAUAAUGACUAUAAUGGCCAGGCUUUGAACAAAUCAGACCCUAUACAGAAAAUCAUAGAGAAAAAAACUCAACCCAAUGAGUCGAGUGAUCCAUCUGAGUUGUAAUCAUUGGGGGUUGCAUGUCCCGGGGUUGUUGAGCUUGAGCUAAGUCCACCUCCUCUUUCCCUCCUCGCCCUCCUUCUCCCAGAACCCGUCGACAGAAAAUUUGCAGCUGAUUUCCAGAGGCCCUUGAUUAUCCUGAUUGUAAUCCGGCCUCUCUUGGGUGGGAGUGGGAAGGUCUGUUGAGGCAUCUUGGUAAGUUUUUAGAAGUUUUUUUGAGGUAACAACAGAAGAAGUUAUGUGAAGAAACAGAGGAAUCCAGGCAGAGGAAACAGGGGAAAGGGGUUAUGGAGCUAAACUUCUCUUAUAUUCCUUGCAAAAGAAAAGGAUAGUAGUUUCCUUUGCUUUAGUUUGGAGAGUUUUGAAACAAAAAGACUGAAAAUAGUUAAAGAAACAAAGAAGUGGAAGAGGGAUUUUUCAAGAGAAAACAGAGUAUGAAUUUUUAAGAGAGGGGAAUGCAAAAUGGAGAGUGGGAGAGAAAUUUGUUGAGUUUGA
This 56723-nucleotide long non-coding RNA is filed under the name Theobroma cacao (cacao). RNAcentral's name for it is "long non-coding RNA (TCAC_LNC005691)". Lineage: Eukaryota; Viridiplantae; Streptophyta; Magnoliopsida; Malvales; Malvaceae. The record is from RNAcentral.